AGGUGGUGGAUGUUUCAGGAGUUCGUGGAUGAGCAAAAACCCCUCGCAAACUCCCUAAUUUAUAGGGAGAGGCGCGGAGGGCUAUCUCCCCUCACUCCAGAAACCGCCGCGCCUCUCGCCCAAUCACUCAAGAUGACGGGCAAAUAGGGAACCGCCCUGCUGCACCAAUGCAUGCGGGGGCGGACCCUGCCACGACUGCCCCUUUAUGGCCACGAACGCCACUUGCCUGACCAUUACUACGCAUGCUUUACGCGUGGCAUUAAUGCUUUGGGAGGUGGGGAGGCUCCUGUGUGCGCACUUCUCCACCUCUCGCACUUGAUGGCGACGUGGGGAAAGGUCAUUUGCAACGGCUCCAAAGCUACAAAGUCCCCUACCAAGGAAUCCCAUGCACUACUUUGGGCCCAGCCGAGUAACGCCCCCAGCGCAUGCGUGUCCCAAGCCAGGGGGCUCCUAUUAGUGCAUUAGAGACUGGGGUCCCUCGUGCCCCAGACUUGUGCAUGGGCAUCGGCGACGCCCCUGGUGGCAGUGCCCCGGGAAGAAUAGCAGAAAGGCAAUCCAAGACCCACUAAGGCCACGCCCUUCCCUCUCUUCAUGUGGCGAGGAAUACAAAGGCUCUAGAUGCAAGGCCCUGACAAGCCCACCCUGCCGGGAAGAUUCCCAAGGGCUCGACAACCCCUCAUUGCCGAGAAGACUCCCGAAGAUUAGCAAGCCCCCGGCAAGCCUCCCUUGUCGGGAAGGCUCGCGUAGACUGGCGAAGCCCCCGGCAAGUGCUCCUUGCCGGGAAAGUGUUCAAAUGCCCCGGCAAGCCCUCCUUGCCGGGAAGGUGACCAAGUCACCCGACAAAGACUCCAGGCCAGCAAGCCCCUUUCGCUCGCCAGGUGUCUGCUACCUCUUGAGCUUGCGUUGGUUUUUCCCUUGAAGAGGAAAGGGUGAUGCAGCACAGUAGCAGUAAGUAUUUCCCUCAGUUUGAGAACCAAGGUAUCAAACCAGUAGGAGUAUCAAGGCAAGUCUCCAAAGUACCUGCACAAAAACAAGCAAACUUGCACCCAACGCUACAAAGGGGUUGCCAAUCCCUUCACGGUUAACUGCAAGGUGAGAUCUAAAGGCCGAAAGUGCAACAAAGUAAAAGUGUAGAGCUGAAAAUAUGAUGUGAAGUAGACCCCGGGGCCAUAGUGUUCACUAGAGGCUUCUCUCAUGAUAGCAAAUAUUACGGUGGGUGAACGAAUUACUGUCGAGCAAUUGAUAGAACCGCGCAAAGUCAUGAUGAUAUCUAAGGCAAUGAUCAUACAUAUAGGCAUCACGUCUGAGACAAGUAGACCGAUACUUUGUGCAUCUACUACUAUUACUCCACACAUCGACCGCUAUCCAGCAUGCAUCUAGUGUAUGUACUUCAUAACAAACAGAGUAACGCCUUAAGCAAGAUGACAUGAUGUAGAGGGAUAAAUUCAUGCAAUAGAUAUAAACCCCAUCUUUUUACCCUUGGUGGCAACAACAUGAUGCGUGCCUCGCUACCCCUUCUAUCACUGGGUGAGGACACCGCGCGGUAUGAACCUAAAACCAAGCACUUCUCCCAUUGCAAGAAUUGUAGAUCAAGUUGGCCAAACGAAACUCACAACUCGAAGAGAAUUACAAGGAUAUGAAAUCAUGCAUAUAAGAGAUCAGAGGAAACUCAAAUAAUAUUCAUAGAUAAUCUGAUCAUAAAUCCACAAUUCAUCGGAUCUCGACAAACACACCGCAAAAGAAGAUUACAUNNNNNNNNNNNNNNNNNNNNNNNNNNNNNNNNNNNNNNNNNNNNNNNNNNNNNNNNNNNNNNNNNNNNNNNNNNNNNNNNNNNNNNNNNNNNNNNNNNNNNNNNNNNNNNNNNNGAUUACAUCGGAUAGAUCUCCAUGAAGAUCAUGGAGAACUUUGUAUUGAAGAUCCAAGAGAGAGAAGACGCCUUCUAGCUACUAGCUAUGGACCCGAAGGUAUGUGGUGAACUACUCACACAUCAUCGGAGAGGCAAUGGUGUUGAUGUAGAAGCCCUCCGUGUCCGAAUCCCCCCUCCGACAGGGCACCAAAAUGUGCCUCAGAUGGGAUCUUGCGGAGACAUAAGCUUGCGGCGGCGGAAAAGUAUUUUCGUGGCUCUCUCCCGUGGUUUCAUAUUUUUAGGGAUAUAGGCGGAAGAAGUAGGGCAAAGGAGCCACAAGGGGGCCCACAAGCCUGCUAGGCGCGCCCCCCAGGCCGCGGCUAGGGGGCUUGUGGCCUCCUGCGGGAGCCUUUGCCUUGGUUCUCAAGUUCCCUGCGUAUCUUCUAUUCCGGAAAAAAUCUUUCCGGAGGUUUUAUUCCGUUUGGACUCCGUUUGAUAUUCUCCUCUAAAAAAGGUCAAAAACACGAAAAAAACAGGAAGUGGCACUUGGCACUGAGUUAAUAGGUUAGUACCAAAAAAAGAUAUAAAAUGCAUACAAAACAUCCAAAGUUGACAAGAUAAUAGCAUGGAACCAUAAAAAAAUAUAGAUACGUUGGAGACGUAUCAAGCACCCCAAGCUUAACUCCUGCUCGUCCUCGAGUAGGGAAGUGAUAAAGACUGAAUUUUUGAUGUGGAAUGCUACCUAACAUAUUUGUCCUUUGUAACUUCUUUCAUGUGACAUGAAUGUUCAGAUCCGUAAGACUCAAAACAAUAGUUUGCUAUUGACAUGGAAACAAUAAUACUUCAAGCAAACUAGCAAGGUAAUCAUGAACUUUCGAAAUAACAAGGCCAAAGAAAGUUAUCCCUACAAAAUCAUAUAGUCUGGCUAUGCUCCAUCAUCCCCACACAACGAAUUUAAAUCAUGCACAACCCCGGUAUUGGCCUAGUAAUUUUUUUCGCACUCUUACUUUCUCAAACUUUUUCAACUUUCACGCAAUACAUGAGCGUGAGCCAUGGAUAUAGCACGAAAGGUGAAAUAGAGUGUGGUGGAGGUUGUGAGGCAAAAAAGGAGGAGAUGGUCACAUCGACUCGGCGUAUCAACGGGCUAUGGAGAUGCCCAUCAAUAGAUAUCAAUGUGAAUGAGUAGGGAUUACCAUGCAACGGAUGCACUUAGAGCUAUAAGUGUGUGAAAGCUCAAAAGGAGAACUAGUGGGUGUGCACCCAACUUGCUUGCUCACGAAGACCUAGGGAAAUUUUGAGGAAGCCCAUCAUUGGAAUAUACAAGCCAAGUUAUAUAAUGAAAAUUCCCCCUAGUAUAUGGAAGUGUCAAAACAAGAGACUCUCUAUCAUGAAUAACAUGGUGCUAUUAUGAAGCACAAGUGUGGAAAAAGAUAGUAGCAUUGUCCCUUCUCUCUUUUUCUCUAAUUUUUUUGUUUGGGCUCUUUGGCCUCUUUUCAUUUUUCCUCACAUGGGACAAUGCUCUAAUAAUGAUGAUCAUCACACUUUUAUUUACUCACCACUCAACACUUAGAGCAAUGAUGACUCUAUAGGAAAUACCUCCGGUAGUGUACCGGGAUGUGCAACAAUCUAGCGUAGCGUAUGCCAUUGAAACAUCUCGCUAGCUAUCUCACGAUCAUGCAAUGGCAAUAUGAAAGUGAUGGCACAUGUCAUGAGACGGAACGAUGGGAGUUGCAUGGCAAUAUAUCUCGGAAUGGCUAUGAAAAUGCCAUAAUAGGUAGGUAUGGUGGCUGUUUUGAGGAAGGUAUAUGCUGGGUUUGUGCACCGGCUAAAGUUGCGCGGCACUAGAGAAGCUAGCAAUGGUGGAAGGUGAAAGUGCAUCUAUACCAUGGACUCACAUUAGUCAUGAAGAACUCAUAUACUUAUUGCGAAAGUUUUAUUAGUAAUCGAAACAAAGUGCUAAACGCAUACUCCUAGGGGAAGGGUUGGUAGGUGUUAACCAUCGCGCGAUCCCGACCGCCGCACAAAGGAUGACAAUCAAUAAAUCAAUUAUGCUCCGACUUCCUAACAUAGCGGUUGACCAUACGUGCAUGCUACGGGAAUCACUAACUUCAACACAAGUAUUUUUAGAUUCACAACACCCUACUAACAUGACUCUAAUAUUACCAAAUCCAUGUCUCAAAACUAAUUGAGAGGAAUCAAACUUCUCUUACUAAUCAAUGCACAUGAAUAUGGAAGUUUUUAUUAUAUCCUCUUUGGAUGCCUAUCAUCUUUAGGACUACUUUCGUAGCACAAGCCAAUUACCAAGUUACUCGGAGAGAGCACUCUCAAAAAGAUAUAAGUGAAGAUCGAGAGUUAUCAUUUCUACAAAAUAUAACACCGCCUUGCUCUAAAAAGAUCUAAGUGAAGCACUAGAGCAAAGUUAUCUAGCUCAAAAGAUAUAAGUGAAGCACAUGCGAGCUAAAUUGCCUAACUCAAAAGAUAUAAGCGAAGCUCAAUGAGUAUUCUAGCAAAUUCACGAUGAGUGCAUGUCUCUCUCAAAAAGGUGUGCAGCAAGGAUGAUUUUGACACAACAAAAGAAAAGACUCCUAUAAUACACGACGCUCCAAGCAAAACACAUAUCAUGUGGAGAAUAAAAAUAAAGCUCCAAGUAACGUUACCGAUGGUUGAAGACGAAAGAGGGGAUGACUUCCCGGGGCAUCCCCAAGCUUAGGAUUUUUGGUGUCCUUGAAUUUGGCUUGGGAUGCCUUGGGCAUCCCCAAUCUUGAGCUCUUUCCACUCUUUAUCCCAUUGUCCAUGAGAACAUCACCCAAAACUUGAAAACUUCACAACACAAAACUUAAACAGAAACUCGUGAUAUCAUUAGCAUAAGAAAACAAACCACCACCUCUUUAGGUACUGUAGAAAACUUGAUUUCUAUUUAUAUUGGUGUUAGAUUACUGUAUUCUCACUAUUCCAUGGCUACUACCCCCCGAUACUGUCCAUAGUUUCAUCAAAAUAAGCAAUCAACACAACAAAAACAGAAUCUGUCAAAAACAGACCAGUCUGUAGCAAUCUGUAUACUUCGUAUAUUUAUGGUAUCUAUAAAAUUCUGAAAAAUUAUGAAAAUUGGGGAAUUGGCAUAUAAACCAGCAGCAAAAAGAAUCAACUCAAAAUCUCUUUAUGCAUAGGAACUAAAAAUCAUUUCUUGAGCGCAAAGUUUUUGUCUUUUUCAGCAAGAUCAAACAACCAUCACCAAAACUAGUCAUAAAGGUUUUACUUGGCACAAACACAAAAAGAAACACAAAAAACACAAUCAUAACAGAAUUAUGAUGGUGUGGACACAAAAAAAACAGAAAGCAAAAAGCAAAGAUAAAUUCAUUGGGUUGCCUCCCAACAAGCGCUAUUGUUUAACGCCCUUAGCUAGGCAUUGAUAAUUCAAUGAUGCUCACAUAAAAGACAAGGAUUGAAGCACAAUGAGAGCAUCAUAAAGCAUGUGAAAAUCACAUCUAAGUCUAACAUACUUCCUAUGCAUAGGCAUUUUAUAGGAAAACAGAUUGUCAAGACAACCAAUAGUUGCCAUAUGCAAGGAAGAAGAAAGAGACAAUAGCAAUCUCGACAUAACAAGAAGUGAUUUAGUGAUAUGAAAGUUUCUACCACAAUAUUUUCCUCUCCCAUAACAAUUACAUGUGGGAUCAUAUUCAAAUUCAAAAAUAUAGCUAUCACAUAUGAUAUUCUUUUCAUGAUCCACAUGCAUGCAAAGUUGACGCUCUUCAAAAAUAGUGGGAUUAUCAUCCACUAAAGUCAUGACUUCUCCAAACCCACUUUCAAUAUUAUUGCAAAUAUAGUCUUCAUCAUGAGGCUUAAACAAAUUUUGAAGAUCAUAAGAAAAAUCAUUACCCCAAUCAUGAUCAUUGCAACAAGUAGUGGACACAGCAAAACUAGCAUCCCCAAGCUUAGGGUUUUGCAUAUUUUUAGCAUGAUUUCCAUUAAUAGAAUUCAUAAUGAAACCAUUGCAAUCAUACUUUUCAUUCAAGGAGCCCUCAAGAAAAACUUCAUAAAUUUCUUCAUCACGAUUUUCAGAUUCACGCAUCUCAAGCAAAACUUCAUAAAGAAAAUCUUGUGCAGAAAACUCACAAGCAAUUGGUUCCACAUAAUUGGAUCUCUUAAAGAGAUUAGCAAGUGGAUGAGGAUCCAUAUCAAUAGAUUUUCAGCAAGCGAAGAUGCAAGCAUAUUGAAGGCACAUAGCACACAAGCAAAGGAAAGGCAAACGAAAAAGGCAAAUAUUUUUGUAAAUUUUUGUUUUUCAGAAGUGGGGGAGAGGAAAACGAGAGGCAAAAAAGUAAAUGCAAGAGAUGAGUUUGCAACAUUUACUUGCAUAAGCUUCACUUAGAAUAGUCCCAGGUGCCAGAAAUUGACACGUUGAAGGAAGACUAUUCUUGACUUGAUACUCCCCGACAACGGCGCCAGAAAUUCUUCUUGCUACCUCUUGAGCUUGUGUUAGUUUUUCCCUUGAAGAGGAAAGGGUGAUGCAGCACAGUAGCAGUAAGUAUUCCCCGCAGUUUGAGAACCAAGGUAUCAAUCCAGUAGGAGUAUCAUGGCAAUUCUCCAAAGUACCUGCGCAAAAACAAGCAAACAUGCACCCAACGCUACAAAGGGGUUUUCAAUCCUUUCAUGGUUAACUGCAAGGUGAGAUCUAAAGGCGGAAAGUGCAACAAAGUAAAAGUGUAGAGCUGAAAAUAUGAUGUGAAGUAGACCUGGGGGCCAUAGUGUUCACUAGACGCUUCUCUCAUGAUAGCAAAUAUUAUGGUGGGUGAAUGAAUUAAUGUCGAGCAAUUGAUAGAACCGCGCAAAGUCAUGAUGAUAUCUAAGGCAAUGAUCAUACAUAUAGGCAUCACGUCCGAGACAAGUAGGCCGAUACUUUCUGCAUCUACUACCGUUACUCCACACAUCGACCGCUAUCCAGCAUGCAUCUAGUGUAUUGAGUUCAUAACAAACAGAGUAACGCCUUAAGCAAGAUGACAUGAUGUAGAGGGAUAAAUUCAUGCAAUAGAUAUAAACCCCAUCUUUUUACCCUUGAUGGCAACAACACGAGGCGUGCCUCGCUACCCCUUCUGUCACUGGGUGAGGACACCGCACGGUAUGAACCCAAAACCAAGCACUUCUCCCAUUGCAAGAAUUAUAGAUCAAGUUGGCCAAACAAAACCCACAACUCGAAGAUAUCAGAGGAAACUCAAAAAAUAUUCAUAGAUAAUCUGAUCAUAAAUCCACAAUUCAUCGGAUCUCGACAAACAAACCGCAAAAGAAGAUUACAUCGGAUAGAUCUCCAUGAAGAUCAUGGAGAACUUUGUAUUGAACAUCCAAGAGAGAGAAAAAGACAUCUAGCUACUAGCUAUGGACCCGAAGGUCUGUUGUGAACUACUCACGCAUCAUCGAAGAGGCAAUGGUGUUGAUGAAGAAGCCCUCCGUGUCGAAUCCCCCUUCCGGCAGGGCACCAGAACGUGCCCCAGAUGGGAUCUUGCGGAGGCAGAAGCUUGCGGCGGCGGAAAAGUAUUUUCGUGGCUCUCUCCCGUGGUUUCAGAUUUUAGGGAAUUUAUAGGCGGAAGAAGUAGGGCAAAGGAGCCACGGGGGGGCCACAAGCCUGCUAGGCGCCCCCAGACCGCGACUAGGGGGCUUGUAGCCUCCCCCGGGAGCCUUUGCCUUGGUUCUCAAGUUCCCUGCAUAUCUUUUGUUCCGGAAAAAAAAUCUUUCCAGAGGUUUUAUUCCAUUUGGACUCCGUUUGAUAUUCUCCUCUGAAAAAACACAGAAAAACAGGAACUAUCACUUGGCACUGAGUUAAUAGGUUAGUCCCCAAAAAAGAUAUAAAAUGCAUACAAAACAUCCAAUGUUGACAAGAUAAUAGCAUAGAACCAUAAAAAAUUAUAGAUAAGUUGGAGACGUAUCACUGUCCUCCCCCGUUUUCUACCAUAAUCCGACCGCUCCAGCACAUCCCUCGUGUGCCAGCACAAGACCGAGGUGUCGAUUCACCUGGAUACGUGUCGCGACCACCUUGCGGCGGGUCAAGGGUCACACAAGGCAUUUACUACCCCUGACACCAUGGAAGAAGUAGAACGGUGAACACUGUCCACUAUUCACCCCGUGAGCACCCUGUUGGUGACCCCUUUGUCAAUAAAAGGAGGCUCAAAGCUCAUUCUUAGAGGUUGGACCUUUUGGGAUCGUAGACUCCCUAAUCACCUACUAAGUUACUGUAGCAAAAUCACCCUACAGUAAGCACAUAAUACAAACUAAGCAGGAGUAGGGUUUUACGCGCCAACCGGCCCGAACCUGGGUAAAAAAAUCUUGCCCGUGUUGAUCGCUAGUUCCGCUCUCGACGCUGUACCUCUCUCCCCGUCGAACGAUCAAGGGAUCCUCGAGUUUCCCAUAGGUGUUGGUUUCCCCGAUAAUGAUUGUCGUGGUUUUGUCACGGCAGAUGUCCUCGUGAAAGGACUUAGUAUUGGAGCCAUCACACUUUGGUGGCGACUCAAAGGGGUUGAACGGGAGUGAGACGGUGAUUUACCCAGGUUCGGCCCCUCGUGAGGAGGUAAAUGCUUACGUCCUGCUUUGAGUUGUAUUGAUGGAGUUUCGAUUACAAGGAGGGCGUAACUCGCCAGACCUAGUACUCGAUGAUNNNNNNNNNNNNNNNNNNNNNNNNNNNNNNNNNNNNNNNNNNNNNNNNNNNNNNNNNNNNNNNNNNNNNNNNNNNNNNNNNNNNNNNNNNNNNNNNNNNNNNNNNNNNNNNNNNNNNNNNNNNNNNNNNNNNNNNNNNNNNNNNNNNNNNNNNNNNNNNNNNNNNNNNNNNNNNNNNNNNNNNNNNNNNNNNNNNNNNNNNNNNNNNNNNNNNNNNNNNNNNGACUCUUACAAUCUCUAAGUCGCCAUCUUUCCAAAGCUUGGAAACCUUCCGGCGGUUGUAAACCGCCAUACAACCUUCGGUCUUGCCAGGCCAAAUCCCGAACCAUGCUUAGACGAAUCGCCAGAUUGGGUGACCCGGCCCAACUAGGGCGGGUUAUCAAUAGAUAAUAUCCCCAACAUUAGGCCCCAGAUUGACUUGAAUUUUCUUCACGCCAAUAUCCUUACUCAAUUAAGGGCGAUUCAUUUUUCGUCCUCUUUUAUAUGCCAUGAACUUAACCCGCCAUCUGUCGUAGAAAAACUUAAGUCGCCAGACCAUUUCUCGUCGGUACCUUCUUAUCCCUUGAAUUCCAGAAAAGAUAAUGACGCAAUCCCAAUGGAUCCUUCGGUAUCAUUAUCCCAAAAUUUUGGGAGCGCCAUCAUAGCGAAUCUUUAUCUUUUGGCGGUUCCCGCUCGAGGCGCCUCGAUUCCAGCGCCUGCCCUGUUAAAUAGGUGGGGAAAAGGACUGGGCGCAUUCCACCCACCAGUCUUGUCGCCCUUCUCCCCAUUAUCACAGCGAAACCCUCAUCGUCUUCCGUGAGCUCCGCCACCAACCGCGGUUCUCGCCGUCGUCCGAAAGUUUUGGUGCCGCUCGAAGAUCUUGUCGCUGCCAAGCACUUCGCCGCGGCUGAGCUGUUCGCCGUCACCGACCGUCUCGUCGUCGUUGAACACCUCAUCGUCGCCGAACACUUCGUCGCCGCCGAAUACUUCGACGCCGCCUGAGGUUUCCGCGCCCGUCCGGAAGCCUUCAUCGCCGUCGACCAUCUCCAGCCGAAUCCACCAGGUUAGGUUUCCAUUGUUCAAGAGCAGAUCCCAAUUUCCUUUCGAGGUUCAUCACUGCCACAUUACUUGGUGCUUCCCGAAUAGUUGUUGCGUGUUCCUAAUUAAUCGAUGGCGUCGAUGACGAGAAAAUCAAGGUCUUUGAUACUUUUACCUGUCCGCUCUUGAUUUGCACACUUAGAGUAGGACUUCACCAAAUCAACAGUAGUAUCCCAUCUUAGUCGAAGGUUGCCAUAUCCGGUCAUUUCCACGUUUAUUUUCGUCUGUCCAGUAGAUCCAUAAUCUACUGCUUUGUUAUGCGAAAAUUGUUUGUACUCUUCAUACUUCGCCAUUUUUUGGAUAAAUACCUCUGAUGCCUUGAAACACCGCUCCCUUAAGUAGCCAAAGUUUCGCAAGUCGCCCUAGCAACCUGACCCAGGCCUUCAUUGGCGGAUCAAAAAAUUUCCUCGGCCAGCGGACAAAUUACUUGGCGAGUCAAAUGAAAACGUUUCACCUCUUACUGUAGAUGUUUUGGCGUGUCAAUUUACCCGUACUUUAUCCCUUUGUAGCAUGGGCGCCAUCUUCAAAAGUGACUGGCUCCCUACCAAGGUUAAUGACGCCAUACUAGCGGAUUAUGUGAAAACGGGAAAUUUGGACCCUCGGGAUGUUAUCGGUUGGCGCACCGGGUUCGGAGAAGAAAUCCCCAAUCCCAAAGAAGGGGAAAUAGUUGUUUUCGUUGAACACCUUGAGCGAGGUUUUAAGCCACCUGGAUCGAAGUUCCUCAGAGACGCCAUGGCUUUCAUGAAUGUCCGCCUCCAAGAUCUAGGGCCCAACUCGAUAAGUAACCUAUGCCAGUUCCAAGUGUUUUGUGAGGCUUAUUUGCGGAUGGAACCCUCAGUUCCCUUAUUUUGGUACUUCUUCCACUUAAAUCGCCAAACAGAAUUUCACAAUGGCCCCAACCUGGAGCUCGACGGUGUAAACGUUCAACGCCGCAGGGAUAGCCCAUUUCCAUCACUCGCCAUGCCAAGCCACCCCAAAGGCUGGGGCGAGUCUUGGUUCUACUGUCAAGAAACCUCGCCUAUAGGUGAAAACAAACUUCUGGGUUAUAGGGAAGAUCGCCUCCCAACGAAUUUCAAGCCCCCGGACAAGCUCACCGAGGAGGAGUCAGAUUUUAUCCCAGUAUUGUCCAUGUUAAGAUCUUUGACAAACAACGGCCUUACUGGAGUUGACUUAAUCCGCUGCUGGGUCGAAUGGUGCAUCCUCCCUUUAAGUCACCGGGACGGGUUAAUGUGUGAAUUCGACGGCACUCUAGAUCAUCCUCAAUGCUACUUCCACACGGCCCUAACGGAAAGUGAUAUUGUCACCAUCAUCAAGAAGCUGACCGGCGAGCCCGUGGGAAAAUGCGGCCAAACAGGUCUCAAACCUUUCUGCAAUAUUAAUCCGGCACCCAAGGUAACCAACUUUAACCCGCCUUUUGUCUUUUACUUCUUAUGUAUCAUUCUAACUAUGGCCUCUUAUAGAAUAUACCAUUUCAGAAAGGUGAUAAAUUUUGGUCCAAGAGGCCAAAGAAGUCAGCCAUGAAGCAAGCUAGGCCGCCUCCAAAGAAGAAAUCCAAGGGCAAGGGCAAAGCUGCUGUGACCGAACCAUCCGAGGUCGAUGAAUCCCAAGUCGGCGACACACCUUCAGAGGUACAAACCUAUCCUUUCUUAACUCGCCAUGCAUUACUGAUAACUUUGUAUUUAUACCUCUGCAUCUCUUGAAUAGAAUGAAGACAACGAAAGCCAGGAGGAUUCCGUAGAGGUAAUUUAUGUUUCCUCCGAUUCAUCUCCUUCUCCAUCUAAGCCGGCUAGGCGAAUUUGUGGGAAAGUUCCCUUCUCACAGCCAAAUGCUUGUUUGGACCCAAAUUUUCUUCUGAAGAAAGCACAACACACUUCAAAUUGGAAGACCCGAAGUCAUUCUGGCGAUCUGGUGUCCGGUUUACGAGCAAGGAACAAGAAAAGGCCAAAUGAGGUAUCCUUUUAACAACACUUUUCCACGUCUUUUUGGAUCGCAUUUGUAACCUUCUUAUAUCUUUGACGUAUAAUUCUUGCAGAGUUCUCCUCCUACAUCUGGUGACUUAAUAAUGUCACCACUUCCGCCAAUGAUUCGUGUCCCUGGGUAAGUCUUUUAAUAAUCUUUACUUUGAAUCUGAUGGUAAUAAGUUUUCAGUCCUUUUAAACGCACCCCUUCUCCUUUCAGGGCACAAGCGAAGAAAAGAAAAACUGGCAGGUCAACUCCCAUCAUAAUCUCGGAGCCUAUCGAAAAGACGGCACCGAUCCAAGACAACCCGGACCAAGACAAACCUGAGGAUCAAGUGGAUCUCCCUAGCUCUCCCAAGGAAACAAUGGAUGCCCCCAAGCCGCCAAGUAGACAACAGCAGAAGACCCGGACGCUGUAAUUAUCACUGGUACUAGCUUCUCUAAACCGGCCACAACGGUUUUACCGAAGCAUGCAUCAUCAUCAGCUCAAACUGUUCCUGAGUAUGAACUCUCCAAGGCUAAGCUCUCUCAAUAUGAACAUCUGGAAUUCAAAGAACUUUGCUCUGGUUUUGCAAGUCGCCUGGAGGCGAGUUAUGAGAUGGAUAAAAGCCUGCUUCGGAUGCUGAAAAACAAACAUGAGGUAUGUUUUGUUGUAUACUAUAUUAUCCGCAUUAACCCCCAAGGGUCGGGUCAUCAGUAAAAAGAUGAGCCGGGUCUUGAUGAUUUGAAAACUUUCAACCAGUAACCCCCAAGGGCCGGGUCAUAGGUAAAAAGAUGAGUCGGGUCUUGAUGAUUUGAAAAACUUUUGACCAGUAACCCCCAAGGGCCGGGUCCUCAGUAAAAAGAUGAGCCGGGUCUUGAUGACUUGAAAAACUUUCAACCAGUAACCCCCAAGGGCCGGGUCAUCAGUAAAAAGAUGAACCGGGUCUUGAUGAUUUGAAAAACUUUCGACCGGUAACCCCCAAGGGCCGGGUCAUCAGUAAAAAGAUGAACCGGGUCUUGAUACUGUAUAAUUUUGUCUGAAAAAAUUAUACAUUAGCCCCCAAGUGUCAGGGAUGUUGCUUGCAAUAGUUCUGAGACUUGCCCCUUAACCAUAUGUUGCAAUAGGAAUCUCUUAUCCAGACUGAAUCAACACUUGGCGACUUGAAGAAAAGCUUAUCUGAUCAGCAGGAUACCCGGGCCCAAUCAGAGGAGAAGUAUCACCUGGUCUUAGCUGAGAUGGAAAAGCUAAAAGCCGAUUUAAGAAGGGCUCAAGCUGACCAAGAUGUUCAACAAAGCGAGCAGAAAAGGCUGAAGACAAGCUGGCGACUGUGCAACAAGAGCUGUCCGGCUUAAAACGACAUAUCUCAAACAUGGCGCAAGCCGUCUUUGGUAAAAAACUUACUCUUGACCUUUGUAAACAAAUAACUCUUAUCUGAGUCGCUCAUUAUCAUUAUCCCUUAUACAGGUCCAAGAGCCGCCAACCUUCAGGAUGAUUGCGUCCUGAAGCUGAAGGCGAUCUACACCUGACGGAGCAGCUAUAUACCGGCAGUGUACUGAGUGUGAAAGCGGUGAUGGGCGCCAAGGAGCCUAUAACAUCAAUAAAGCAGAUGCUUGACUGUCUAUCCAUGCUUCCUCCCCAGAUUGCCGAGUUAACUCGAUCAGCCGCCCGGAAAGGAGUGCUGACUACACUGAGUUGAUGCUUAGCAUAUGCUCCAGAGAUAAACCCAGAAGAAGUAGCGGCGGGCUUUCCUCAACUCAAGGAUGAUGGGUCAGAAUUCACCGAAGAGGACUACCAGCGUGUCGUCAAGGACUCCCGUCUGGCGGCGACUCAGCUUGCUGCAAGCCUAGACUUAUCAAAAUACCAGGCCGCUUAUGACAAUAAGAACAAGAAGGUCAACCCGCCAACCUUUGUGACGACCAGCUUAACUCCGCGUCGACCCAAGAAUCCUUUUGACUUGGACGCGGAUCUCUCAUGAAUCCUGACCGAUGAAGAUGAAUUUGCCACUCUAUCCAAGUCUAACUGGGUACUGGGCGACUUGCAGAUUGAGGUUGGCCAAAACUCACAGCAGGCUGAUCCAAGGGCAUCAGCAGAAUAAAAUUUCAUUGAUUUGGCCAUGAGAGCCAUGUAAUAGGUCUCCUUUAGGAAUCGACACUGCUUUUGUGGCACCUUUAAAACAUCCUUAUGUCGCCCUUAAGGCGUUUUGAACUGCUUGAUCAGCCAUUUGAAGCUUUUUUAUCAUAAUACUUGACCCGCCAUUGAGGUCUUUUUUAUGAUGCUUAAUCCGCCAUGGAUAGAGUGAUUUUGAUCAUCCACCUGUUCUAAGCUUUGAAAAACAUAUAUGAAAUCAUCUCAGUGAAUAAUAAGUGAUAAUAAAUAGCAGCCGCCCAAAAAUAUUUUGAGACGAAUGAGAAAAAAGUCUGAAAAACCUUGCGGCAGUGCCAAGAAGGUAAAAAAUAACAAUUUCGUCGGCUCAUAAGGUCGCGACAGGAUAGGGCGAGUCAAAAAAGCUCANNNNNNNNNNNNNNNNNNNNNNNNNNNNNNNNNNNNNNCGACAGGAUAGGGCGAGUCAAACAAACUCAAGCGCCACCCAAGACAAUAAUUUCAUAGGCCAAAUGGACAAUAAAAUUGAUCUCAAUGAGAGGAAGCCCCCAAGUCGGGAGGCGUUUUAAUUUUAUUGGUUUAUAAUAAGGACUGAAAAACUUACAAAAUGCAGAGCUUAAAAGCUCAAGUGUAGUAAGGCCGCAAGUGGGCAAUAUUCCAGGGGCGAGUCGACUCAGCCUCCGUGGUUGGCCGGUUAGGCCGGAGAUCCACCAGAUAGUAAGAACCGUUGUGAAGAUUUUCACUGACGAUGAACGGUCCUUCCCAUGGUGGUGAUAACUUAUGCAUACCAGCACGAUCCUGUAUCAUCUGAAGCACUAAGUCGCCUUCCUCAAAGGUUCGACUCUUGACCCGGCGGUUGUGAUAACGCCGUAAAUCCUGCUGAUAAAUGGCCGAUCGGGCCACAGCCAAGUCACGCGCCUCCUCUAAGGCAUCCAAAGAGUCUUGACGCGCCAGUUCGUUGUCCUGUUCCACAUAAGCGGCGACUCUGGGCGAGUCAUGCCUAAUGUCAGUGGGAAGAACAACUUCUGCUCCAUAGACCAGAAAGAAAGGGGUAAAACCCGUGGACCGGUUCGGGGUGGUCCGGAUGCUCCAUAACACUGAAGGCAACUCCUCAACCCAACACCCCGGGUUUUUUUUCCAAGGGAACCAUGAGCCGGGGCUUGAUUCCCCGUAAAACUUCCUGAUUCGCCCGUUCCGCCUGCCCAUUAGAUUGCGAGUGAGCGACCGCAGAAACAUCAAGCCGGAUAUGCUCUUGACGGCAAAACUCCUCCAUCGCCCCUUGAGAUAGAUUAGUGCUGUCGUGGGUAUAAGNNNNNNNNNNNNNNNNNNNNNNNNNNNNNNNNNNNNNNNNNNNNNNNNNNNNNNNNNNNNNNNNNNNNNNNNNNNNNNNNNNNNNNNNNNNNNNNNNNNNNNNNNNNNNNNNNNNNNNNNNNNNNNNNNNNNNNNNNNNNNNNNNNNNNNNNNNNNNNNNNNNNNNNNNNNNNNNNNNNNNNNNNNNNNNNNNNNNNNNNNNNNNNNNNNNNNNNNNNNNNNNNGGGCAUACUUAAGGUCCUGUCCCUUGCGUGGGGUAGUCCUUGGGUAGGACCUGUAGGACAGGCCUAUGACCCUACCCUAGGACUAUGACCCCAUCAUUAGUCCCCGAAUGGAUUGGGGUUGAAACGUCAAAGCAGUGCUCGAUGCUCAGAUCCGACUGGACUAGGUUCGGCUUGGGCGUUGCUUGCCUCUAUCCAUUCUAUCUCUCCUGGCCAAUGAUCCGAGUGAAUGUGUUCUGCGGAACGGACUGUCGGGAACCGAGUGCUUUCGCGGCAUCUUUUGACUCGACCGGUCAACUCACAGCGGCGGAUUUUCCGGGAUCUUAAAUUUCGGGUUCCGCACGCUUAGCGGGGGCGACGUCAGCGCGCUCGAGUAGCGCCUCACUCCUCGAUCCUCGCGCCUUCAACUCUUCCGCCGAUAUCGCCGCGGCUGGUUGGGCGGAUAAGAUUUCGGGCCCGCUCGCCAGCGACCCAGUCGGUGUUCUAUUUAACUCUGGCCGACGAGACCCUUCGGUUACGCUCGCCGAAUCCUCUGCUCUUGCUUGCUCCGUCUUCCUCGCCACCUCUUGCGCUCAUACACCUUUCGCUUCCAAUCCUUCUCGAAAGCUCACCAUCGCCGCCAUGACCAAGGGCCAGACCAGCAAGAUGGAGGCAAGGAAGAAGAAGGGCAAGGCGGUGGCUGCUCAGCGGCGGCAGCGGCCAUUGCCAGCAGGAUGGAUCCAGGGAGACUUUCUCCCCUCCACAGUGACGGAGGGGGACCUGCUGGAGCUGGUAGAGCACGGCCAGCUCGUGCAUAAGUCUUGGAGGUUGCCGGCGGACGACGAGGUUGAGCCGGCGCCACGGGAGGGGGAACGCGUCUUGCUCCUCAGCCACGUUCACCGAGGUUUCUCUCUGCCCCCCACCCUUUCUUCAAGGGUAUUAUGAAUCAUUUUGGUGCACAACUCCAUCAUUUCCCUCCGAACGCCAUCGUCCACCUUUCAACAUUCAUUGUCUUGUGUGAAUGCUUUAUUGGUUGUCCUCCCCAUUGGGGUUUAUUCAAACACAUCUUUUCCGUCCGCUCCCAAACCAUAAAACGUCUUAGUCAAUCGGAUGACAAGACGCAUCUCCUCCAGCUCUGUGGGGGUUUAGGGUUUCAGAAGAAGAAUCGGAGUAUUUACCCUGCUCGUCAACGUGGUUUUACUGCCAGGACAUAGCCUGUCCGAACACGUCGACUGGGCUGCCUCCAUUCAAUCUAGACCGCCCUGCUCCACCCAAGCAACUCGCUCUCUCGAAAGCGGAGAAGAAAGACAUCCAGCCUUUGGUUGAGGCACUCGCGGAUGUUGUCAGGAGGGGGGUCACUGGGAUGGACUUGCUGGAAGUCUUCAUCGGUCGGCGAAUCCAGCCUCUGCAAGCCCGCCACCAUGCCAUGUGGCACUACGCAGGACCUGAAGACUCCACUCGGACCAACGUGGAGGGCAUUCUCGAGGAGAAGGUGACCUCAAAGGUGCUCCAAAUCAUGGGUCCCUGUGAGAAUCCCAAGGGGGCCCGCCGAGUGGCGCCUUAUGGUGCGGACAACCCUCCACCGAAUCAGGUGAGUAGCAUUAGCCGAGUGCGUUGAACUGCUUUGAUUUCAGCAACUCAUUUAUAUCUCCGCGUGAUGCUUAACGUUUCCGACUGCAGGCGUCGACCAACUGGUUCUCCCCCGUCUCGAGCGGGAAACUGGAGGAGGAAGAUGAAGAAGGCAGCCAGGAGGGAAGCGUGGAGAGCGACGAAUACAUCUUCGACAGCGAAGAGCCGGAGGAGGAAAACAACGAGGAAGAGGAAAAAGAUGAAGAGCCAGACUCGCCGCCUCCGCGGCCAGAGCAUCGGAAUAGGCGUCGGCAAGAGUCUGCCGUCCCUUCAGUUCCCCUUGUGUCGCCGAGUGCCCCGCCUGCUUCCCCGGCUGCACCGAGUGUUUGAGGUACCAAAAGAGCUAGGGACGCAGCCGCUGAACCUGCGGGCCAGUCCUCCAAGGCGCCCAAAUCGAGCGGAUCCAAACCUCGGAAGGCUCUGCCGCGGAUGAGGGUGGCCAUCCCCGUCACCUCCACGUAAGCAAAUCUAGUUUUCGGUCCUUUCUGUUGACCGAGUGAACUCUUGUUUUACAAGUAGAAUGGUCUUCACUCGACAGGGUUGCCACUUCUGCGACCUCGCCGGCUCGCCAAGGGGACGACCCCAUGGACGCGGACAAUGUCGUUUCAUCACAGCCAGGUACGUUGUGGGAGAGUCGGGUAUUUUAUUCCUGCAGACUGCGCCAUCUCUUUCUGCUUCUGAAGCACUGCGUUAUUCGGCUUGUGAGGGGGGAGAGCUGACUCGACCGCGGAGCCCAUCGAAGAGCCUGUCCCUGAGGCUGCUCCUCCUGCCGCCGCCCCUGCCGUCGACGCUCUACAAAACGAAGUGCCUCCGCCGACUGAACCGGCGCUGACGGGUGAGGAACCUACUGGGGCGAACCUUGGGAUGAACCAAGAUCUCCCCCCGAUUCCCGGUUCGUCGAACACCGAAUUCAACAUUCGGUGUGUCCCGGAGGAGCAGGUGGGAGCGGUCAAGGGGACCAUGGUUCAGGCGGAGCUGAUGGCCGGAGAGGCCAAGAGGGUUUAUGACUCCGCUGCAGCUUUAUAUCAGCGGAGCUUGGAGCUGCGCGAUGACAUCCGAGUAAGUACCCUAGUAAGUACUUACUUUUCUUCUGUAACCCACUAGGUGUUGUCGUAGUCUGUUGUUUGCAAUGGGUUCACUCUGAGUGAACCCAGUGGGUGUAGUCCCCGGGACUUCUGUCGAGUGCUUGCACCACAGUUGUCUUUAUAUAUUUGGUCUUUAUUUUUGUCGUGUCCGUAGACAAGAUUUCUGAGUGCAAGUACUUACUGCAGUCGGAGCACUCUUGCGGUAAGAGUUCCCUAGAGUAAACUGCACACAGGUGGAGUAGCUUUAGCCUCGGAGGCGUAGGUGAAAACGUGCACCUCAAUAGGGCAGACCUGCUUGAGGUGCAUGCCAGUGGGGUCACUCUUAGUGAACCCACUGGGUGUAGUCCCCGAGACCGUUGUCGACUGCUUGCGUCGGUAGGGGUCUAAAGAACGUAGUGUGUAUUGAGAAAGUUGCUGAUAACCCUUUGUUUUGUUUUGUAGAAAACUUGUGAGAGGGGAACUUCUUAUGAAGCCCUCAGAGCGGAGAGGAAUCAAUAUGCUUGUGAACUGGAAGCUGCAAUGCUUGCCAUGGCUGGUAUGAAGGACGCUCUGGAAGCGCGAGAAAAGUCCUUGGAAGAAGCUCGGGAGGCAAACAGGGUAUUGACGGCGAAGACGCAGAUGAUGAGGAAACAUAGGACCGAUCUGCAUAAUCAGAUGGGCGCCCUGAACAGAAGGUGCAUAGCUCAAGAGAAGUAUGUCACCGACUGGGCUGAGCAAAUGAUGACUUGUCUGGCUGGUAAGUCAUAUGCUUUGUCGAGAGGCUUUAUCGUGUGCCCAACAUUCGGUUUUCAUUGUCUGCUUGCUUGUUGGUGGCAGACUUUUGCGGAGACCCUGAAGCUGAAACGGUGGCUGUGGAACGGUCUGUUAAGGACAAAGUUCCACUCGGUGAGGACGCCAAUCGGGAUCUGCUUCGAGCACAAAUCCGCGCUAGCAAAGUAGGUCCUUUCAUCGGUCGACUGAGAGAAGUCGUCGGCCGAAUUAACAAGGAACUUUGGCCGGAAGACGAGUCGCGGGAGGAGAUGGAGACCCUAACGAGCCGACUGGAGGAGGUGCCGAACCAAGUGCAAUCUUGGAAGAAAUCGGCAGCGCGGUGCGGUGCUGAUGUUGCGCUGUCGUUGGUCCGAGUCCAUUGCAAGGAGGUGCAGGAAGAUAAGCUGAAAGCGUUGAAGGUCGCCAACACGAAGAAACUUCAAUUCGAAGACUUCAGGGAGACGUUCCUCGAGACUGCCACCCGCAUUGCUGAUGGAAUUGACUUGGACACUUUUGUGGAGUCCUCUAGUCCUGACGCCGGCCCAUCUAACGCGUAAUCAGAUGUUAUGCUCGGUAUGCCGAGUGUUUGCCUGUAAGAUAUUCUGGCCACUUCUGUUGGCCGUCAUACUUUUGGAUCGGUGCGGGUAAGCUUGAUCCGCACCGAGUCCGUUAUCGUUUCUAGACUGUUGGAGUCACAACGAAAACACUUAUUCUUUUGCUUGAAUGCUGUUUGGAGUUGAACACUUAAUGUGUACUCGUAGAAUAUUAGGACUUAGGUGAUUCAUGAUCAGUGCUAAGUUCCCGAGUGUAACGUAUAGAGCACACUCGAAGGAGCGAUUAGUACUUAGGCGAUGCAGGAUCGCAGCUAAGUCCUCAAGUGUGACGUGAAGUGCACACUCAAAGGAAGAUUAGUACUUAGGCGAUGCGUGAUCGCAGCUAAGUCCCCGAGUGUGACGUAAAGUGCACACUCGGAGAUAGUUAAUACUUAGGCGAUGCAGGAUCGCAGGUAAGUUUUUUUUUUGUGACCAUAGUCUGCAACCACGGAAAAACUCUGAAUCUGCAAAAGAAAUUGAAUCUGCUGUAUACUAUUUCUCCAAAACUCGUUCGUUACACUGCUUCAGUCGGCGAUCACGUAUAAAAACGCUUGAGGAGGUCUCCGUUCCAUGCGCGGGGUUCGUCGGUCUCCUUCUGAAUGUUGUAGAGUCUGUAUGCCCCGUUGUUCAGCACCUUUGAAAUGAUAAAAGGACCUUCCCAGGCCGGAGCCAACUUGUGUGGUCUCUGCUGAUCCACUCGGAGCACCAAACCGCCAGCCUGGAACGUGCGGCUUCUGACAUGUCGUGCAUGAAAACGUCGCAGAUCUUGCUGAUAAAUUGUUGAGCGAGUAAGUGCCAUCUCGCGCUCCUCCUCUAGAAGAUCGACUCCAUCUUGCCUUGCUUGUUCUGCUUCGGCUUCGGAGAAGAGUUCGACUCGCGGGGCAUUGUGAAACAGGUCACUCGGAAGGACCGCUUCUGCUCCAUAGACGAGGAAGAACGGUGAUCGCCCUCUUGAUCUGUUCGGAGUGGUGCGGAGACCCCAAAGUACUGAAGGUAACUCGGUUACCCACGCACCAGCAGCAUGUCCUAUCUCUCGCAAGAGUCGAGGCUUCAAACCUUGAAGGAUAAGUCCAUUUGCACGCUCAGCUUGUCCAUUGGAUUGCGGAUGUGCUACGGAAGCAAAAUCCACUCGGAUACCUUGACUCGCGCAGAAACCUUUGAAUCUGUCCGAGUCGAAGUUUGUCCCAUUGUCCGUGAUUAUGCUGUGAGGCACUCCGAAUCUGAAGAUGAUGUCUCUGACAAACUUCACGGCUGUGGAGGCGUCGAGUUUCUUGAUGGGCUUGGCUUCUAUCCACUUUGUAAACUUGUCGACUGCCACCAACAGAUGUGUGUAGCCUCCUUGGCCUGUCUUGAAUGGUCCGACUGUGUCUAAUCCCCAAACUGCAAACGGCCACACAAGUGGGAUUGUCUUUAGUGCAGAUGUUGGCUUGUGAGACUUGUUGGAGUAGAACUGACAGCCUUCGCAUCGAUCGACCAUAGCUUUGGCCAUUUCGUUAGCCUGCAGCCAGAAGAAUCCAGCCCUGAACGCCUUGGCGACGAUUGCUCUUGAAGAAGCAUGAUGGCCGCAGGUUCCUGAGUGGAUAUCCUCUAGUAUCAACUGCCCUUCCUCUGGGGAAAUGCAACGUUGGAGAACGACUGAAACACUCUCCUUAUACAAUUGACCGUCAAUGACAGUGAACGCCUUCGACUUGCGAACUAUUUGUCGGGCUUGGACUUCGUCUUCUGGAAGUUCUUGCCUUAGGAUAUAUGCCAUAAUCGGCACAGUCCACUCGGGGAUGAUUACCAGAAUCUCUGUGAGCAGAUCAACCAUAGCAGGCACAUCGACUUCAGUCGGGUCUGUCGCACUCUUGGGUUGCACUGGCUCUUCCGUGAAGGGAUCUUCUUUGACUGAAGGAAGAUGGAGGUGCUCGAGGCAGACAUCACUCGGGACGGGUCUCCGAGUGCAUCCGAGCUUCGCCAAUUCGUCCGCCGCUUGGUUCUUCAGUCUUGGAACAUGAUGAAGUUCUAGCCCUUCAAACUUCUUCUCCAGCUUCCUGACUGCAUUGCAGUAGGUUGUCAUAGUGGGGUUCCUUACGUCCCACUCUUUCAUCACUUGGUUGACCACCAAGUCUGAAUCGCCUUAGACCAUCAGGCGACGGACGCCGAGUAAGAUGGCCAUGCAGAAUCCGUAGAGAAGAGCUUCAUACUCUGCCUCAUUGUUAGAGGAAUCAAAGUGUAUCUGAAGCACAUACUUGAGCUUAUCACCCUUUGGUGAUACGAUCACAACACCAGCGCUGGAUCCAUUCAACAUCUUAGACCCAUCGAAGAACAUUGUCCAAUGAGCCGAGUAGAUGAGAGUCGGUUGCUGUUGUUCUACCCAUUCUGCUAUAAAGUCAGCCAGGGCUUGAGACUUAAUAGCUUUCUUGGCCUCGAACUUGAUGUCACAGUACAGCAUCUCCAUCGCCCACUUCGCCACUCGGCCUGACGCGUCUCGAUUGUGGAGAAUUUCCGACAAAGGAGAAUCAGAAACGACAGAUACCGAGUGGUCUUGGAAAUAAUGGGCAACCUUCUUUGCAGUCAAAUAGAUCCCAUAGAUAAGCUUCUGAUAAUGGGGAUACCUCUGCUUGGAAGGGGUCAGGACCUCGGAGAUGUAGUACACUGGCCGCUGAACUUUGUAUGCUUUGCCUUCUUCCUCUCGCUCGACUGUAAGAACAGUACUGACGACUUGAUUUGUAGCCGCCAUAUACAGAAGAAGGGGUUCUUUACUGAGCGGAGCAGUAAGAACCGGCUGGGUGGAAAGUAGGACUUUGAGGUCCUCGAACGCGACUUGGGCUUCGUCUGUCCACUCGAAGGUAUCUGAUUUCUUCAUGAGUCGGUACAGAGGAAGUGCUUUUUCGCCGAGUCGACUGAUGAACCUGCUCAAAGCUGCUAAGCAACCUGUGAGUCGUUGAACAUCGUGUAUCCUGACCGGCCUCUCCAUUCGGACGAUGGUCCCGAUCUUUUCGGGGUUAACAUCGAUCCCUCGUUCAGAAACAAAGAAACCGAGUAACUUUCCGCUGGGAACACCGAAUGAACACUUGGCAGGAUUUAGCUUGAUAUCGUACCUACGAAGGUUGGCGAAUGUUUCUGCCAAGUCAGUCAGCAGGUCGGAACCUUUGCGGGACUUGACUACAAUAUCAUCCAUGUAUGCCUCCAGAUUGCGACCGAUCUGGUCGAGGAGACAUUUUUGGAUCAUGCGCAUAAAGGUAGCUCCUGCAUUUUUCAGACCAAAAGGCAUGGUGAUGUAGCAGAAGCACCCAAACGGGGUGAUGAAAGCUGUUUUCAACUCAUCGGGACCAUACAGACGGAUCUGAUGAUAACCCGAGUAGGCAUCAAGAAAUGAUAAACGCUCGCACCCCGCAGUCGAAUCGACAAUUUGAUCUAUGCGGGGGAGCGGAAAAUGGUCUUUCGGGCAGACCUUAUUGAGGUGCUUGAAGUCAAUGCACAUUCGGAGUGACUUGUCCUUCUUGGGCACCAUGACUACAUUGGCGAGCCACUCGGAGUGGUGAACCUUGCGAAUGAAUCUGGCAGCUAGCAGCUUAGCCACCUCUUCUCCGAUUGCCUUCCUUUUGUGCGCGGAGGCCCGGCGCAGGCGCUCUCGGACGGGCCGAGCAGCGGGAUCCACAUGCAGUCGGUGCUCAGCCAACUCCCUAGGUACACCCGGCAUGUCAGAUGGCUUCCAUGCGAAGAUGUCCCAGUUCUCACGGAGGAAUUGGGUGAGCUCGGCUUCCUAUUUGGGAUCCAGGGUGGUGGAGAUGUUCGUCGGGACGGCUGACUCGUCCGUCGGGUGGAUGCUGACCUUCUUAGUCUCUCCUGCCGACUGGAACGCGGACUCAGAAGCUGGCUUCUUUGAGGGCAUUAAGUCGGCGGGGUCGACUGUCUUCUUGUACUCUUCGAGCUCGAGUACAGCCAUCUGCUGGUCGGCGAUCCUCGACCCCUCUUGCAUACACUCCUCGGCUCGCUGGCGGUUGCCGGUGAUGGUGAUAACGCCUUUUGGACCGGGCAUUUUCAACUUCAAGUACACAUAACACGGUCGUGCCAUGAAACUCAUAUAUGCUGGGCGGCCCAGAAUUGCAUGGUAAGCGCUCUGGAAGUCCACCACCUCAAACGUGAGCUUCUCCUUGCGGAAGUUCUUGUCGGAGCCGAAGAUGACCUCCAAUGCGAUCUAGCCGAGUGAUUUGGCCUUCCGCCCUGGGACGACUCCGUGGAACUGCAUAUUGCUCUCGCUGAGUCUGGACAUCGGAAUGCCCAUCCCCUUGAGAGUGUCGGCGUACAUAAUAUUCAACCCGCCGCCGCCGUCCAUUAGGACUUUGCGCAGUCGGACUCCUUCCACCACCGGGUCGAUGACCAGAGCCUGCCUUCCUGGGGUGGGGACAUGUGUUGGAUGAUCCAACUGAUCGAAGGUAAUCGCAGUCUGAGACCAUUUGAGAAACUUGGGGGCAGUCGGAACGGCCAUGUUGACUUCUGUGUUCACUAGCUUCAGUCGACUCUUGCUUUCGACGUCAGCGAAGAUCAUGAGGCUUGCAUGGACUUGGGGGAACGAAUCCUCCUUGUCCUCCUCAUCCUGUUCAGGAUUCUUCUCACUCGGCUGCCCUUCGCUGAAACCCUGGAUCAGGAGGCGGCACUGCCGAGUGGUGUGCUUUGCGUAUAUGGGGUUACCUUCUUCAUCCAUCUUCGUAUGGAUUGGACAAGGCUGGUCCAGGAUGGGAUUGUUGAAAUGCUUUUUCUUGGGGGUGAACUGCACUUUCCCUUUGCCCUUGAAUUUGGCGCUGGUUACAGCUGCAACUUCUGCUUGCGGUGUGGGCGGAUCCUUCGGUUUCUGCUUCCGAGUGUUACCUCCGUCGGGAUCGCCGACUGUCUUGUGUUUACCGCUCCAGAUGCGGUCCUCUUCUUCGCCAUUUGCAUAGCGAGUUGCUAUCUCCAUCAUCUUGCUCAUGGAGAUGUCGCCGGUUCGACCAAACUUCAAGUACAGCUCCCUGUACCGCACGCCUGCCUUGAAGGUGCAGACUGCUUGAUGCCCGGUGACAUUCUCCACCGUGUGGUACAGAGUCGUCCAUCGCUGGAUGAAGUCGCGCAAGGGCUCAUUCGGCUUCUGGACACAGUGCUGAAGCUCCACAAGACCUGCAGGGCGUUUGCACGUUCCUUCGAAGGUUCUGAUGAACACUCGGGCUAGAUCUGCCCAACUGUAAAUGCUUGAGGGGGCCAACUGGUUCAGCCAAGCUCGGGCCGAGCCGUCGAGCAUCAGAGGGAGGUGCUUCAUAGCGACAUGGUCAUCUCCUCCUCCGAUCUGGACCACCACUCGGUAGUCGUCUAGCCAUGUUUCAGGCUUGGACUCUCCUGAGAAUUUACCGAUUCCCGCAGCCAAUCGGAAGUUGGGCGGGAUAUCAGCCGAGCGGAUGGCUCUACUAAAACACUCGGGGCCAGAUACGAUGGCCCUGCUUCCACUCGGACGGUCCAUAUCGCGGCCAUCGCGGUGGGCUCGACCCCUGUCAACUCUUCGCUGGGCGAUUCGGCCCCUUCCGUCGGGUCUUGGGUCGUAAGUGUCGCCGACUGAAUGCCGAUCAUCAUGAUGCCAGGACCCGUAGGGCCCACCCCGCGGAGUGGUGCGUGAGCGACGGCGAUACUGAUGAGAUCCAGGGCUGUGAACCGAUCUAUGCGUGUUUGCAUGGACGAAACUAUUGCGGAUCCGAUUGUGUGACUGGGAGACUGCCGAAUUCUGCUGCUGCGCCGUACGCAACAGGGCUCGGAUUUGUUCGAUUCCCCUUCCUGCCUCUGAAUCAGUCGGCUGGAGGGAAUCGGCAAUCUGAGCAGCCGCGACCAGGUUGAGGAGAGGUGUGCGGAACACCUUCACGUUGCUCCGCCGAGUGUGUCGGCUGGCAGAACGACGAGGCGGACGACGCGCACCGGAUGCUUUGCCAACUUCACCUCGGUCGGCCUGACGAGUAUCUUCAUGGGAGUUGGCCAUGUGUACUUCUGCUGCAGGCCCACGACCCACGUACUCGGUAGGAAGCUCAGUCGGAACCGAGUCCGAGCACUGGGAGCAUGGGGCGACUACAACAGACUCCAGGACUGCCACCUGAGAGGACGCGAACUGGCGCGCUCGGGCAUGCUGCACCCAACGUUGUAGACGCGGACUGCGAGAUCGCCUGCUGCGGCGCAUGACGAAGGUGCAAGCCGGCAAUGGAGCCGAUUGUUGGAGAAGAAGAACGCCGCGAGUGCCAGCACGGAAGUGCGUGGCCCCGCGACGGGGAAGUGCCUCGACGUCGAGAGGUGCAUCCCGAAGCCACGCCGAAUCGUCGACGACGAAGGAGAGAGCGCCGAAGAGGAUCUGGUGACCCAUGCUCGAACCUCCACCGGCCGACAUGAUGAAAGGAAGUAGUUGCAAACUCGCCGGAAGUCGCUUAGACGCCUGCCCCAUGGUGGGCGCCAACUGUCGUGGGUAUAAGNNNNNNNNNNNNNNNNNNNNNNNNNNNNNNNNNNNNNNNNNNNNNNNNNNNNNNNNNNNNNNNNNNNNNNNNNNNNNNNNNNNNNNNNNNNNNNNNNNNNNNNGGGCAUACUUAAGGUCAUGUCCCUUGCGUGGGGUAGUCCUUGGGUAGGACCUGUAGGACAGGCCUAUGACCCUACCCUAGGACUAUGACCCCAUCAAGUGCCAUUAUCAAUAAUGAUAUUGUGUGGAUAUCCGAACCGGAAGAUCAACUUUUUCAAGAAUUUGACCGCCGUCUCCGCAUCGGAAGUUCCAACAGGCUCUGCCUCAACCCACUUGGUGAACUUAUCAACCGCCACCAGCAAAUGGGUUUUCUUGUUGGAUGACAUUUUAAAGGGGCCAACCAUGUCUAACCCCCAGACCGCGAAAGGCCAAGUGAUGGGAAUCAUUCUUAGUUCUUGAGCCGGCACAUGAGCCUGUCGUCCAUAACGCUGGCAUCCCUCGCAUCGACGAACUAUCUCUUCUGCAUCUGCAUGAGCCGUCAACCAAAAGAAACCAUGACGGAAUGCCUUUGAAACCAAAGAGCGUGACCCGGCGUGAUGCCCACAAUCUCCGGAAUGAAUGUCAUUUAGGAUUAUGCAUCCUUCUUCGGAGGAAACACAUCGUUGAAAAACCCCAGAGGCACUCCGCUUAUAUAAUUCGCCAUUGAUGACCACCAUGGAUUUGCUUCGCCGAACAAUUUGGCGGGCCGAAACUUCGUCUGUUGGUAACUCGCCCCGGGCGAGAUAGGCCAGAUAGGGAAGAACCCAAUCCGGCGUAACGUGGAGAGCCGCCACGAAUUGAGACUCAGGAUAUGGUAUCGCCGACUCCUCCUCUGACGGCAAACUUAUGGAGGGAUUAUGCAAAAUAUCCAGAAAAACAUUGGGAGGAACCGGCUUUCGCUGGGAACCAAGACGUGAAAGGGCGUCAGCUGCCUCGUUAAGGCGCCGGUCAAUGUGAUCAACCUGAUAGCCAUGGAAAUGACCCGCCACAUUAGACACAACUCUUCUGUAAGCCACCAUCACGGGGUCUCGAGAAUCCCAAGUGCCUGAAACUUGCUGCGCCACCAGAUCAGAAUCGCCAAAACACCUGACCCGCGUAAGGUUCAUCUCCUUGGCGAGUCGCAAGCCAUGAAGCAAAGCUUCAUAUUCCGCAGCAUUGUUAGUGCACGGAAACAUGAGUCGGAGGACAUAACAGAAUUUAUCUCCUUGAGGGGACACCAGUACCACACCAGCCCCCGAGCCUUCCAGCUGUCUGGAUCCAUCAAAAUAAAUAGUCCAGUAUGUAUGAUCAGGCCUGUCUUCCGGGGCCCGCAACUCCGUCCAAUCAUUGACGAAAUCAACUAAGGCUUGAGAUUUGAUGGCUGUGCGAGGGGUGUACCGUACGUGGUGCGGCCCAAGUUCAAUCGCCCACUUGGCAAUCCGCCCUGUUGCCUCCCGAUUCUGGAUGAUGUCCCCGAGGGGGCGGAACUAACCACCGUGAUGGGAUGCUCUUGAAAAUAAUGCUUAAGCUUCCGACUCGCCAUAAACACCCCAUAAACUAACUUCUGCCAAUGUAGGUACCGUUGCUUGGAAAGAGUUAACACUUCGCUGACAAAAUACACCGGGCGCUGCACUGGGUAUUCCUUCCCUUCCUCCUUCCUUUCAACGACCACCGCCACACUUACUGCUUUAGAGUUUGCUGCAAUAUACAAAAGCAUGGGUUCUUUCUCAGUCGGGGCGACCAAGACCGGCGGGUUGACCAGUUGCCGUUUCAAGGCUUCGAAAGCUUCAUCUGCUUCAUCUGUCCAAACAAAAUGGUCAGAUUUCUUUAGUAAUUGAUAAAGGGGAAUCGCCUUUUCUCCCAGGCGGCUUAUGAAGCGACUUAAAGCCGCAAUGCGACCCGCCAUUCGUUGGACUUGGUUAACAUUUGCCGGUUUUCCAAGGGACGUAACUGCUUCGAUUUUGUCCGGGUUAGCUUAAAUGCCACACUCACACACCAGGAAGCCCAACAAUUUCCCUGCAGGAACACCGAAAACACACUUGGUGGGAUUCAGCUUCAUCUGAUACACCCGCAGAUUAUCGAAAGUUUCCUUGAGAUCCUCAAGUAGCGUCUCCCCCUGGCGGGUUUUAAUCACAAUGUCAUCGACAUAGGCAUGGACGUUGCAUCCGAUUUGGCUGCGGAGGCAAUUCUGGAUGCAACGCUGAUAAGUCGCCCCUGCACUCUUGAGUCCAAACGGCAUGGACACAUAGCAAAAAGCCCCAAAGGGGGUUAUGAAAGCUGUUUUCUCUUGAUCCUCCACGGCCAUCUUGAUUUGGUGAUAUCCAGAGUAGGCGUCCAAAAAGCACAAACGUUCGCAUCCCGCCACCGAGUCAAUAAUCUGGUCGAUGCGGGGAAGAGCGAAAGGGUCUUUUGGACAAGCUCUGUUGAGGUUCGUGUAAUCAAUGCACAUACGGAAGGUACCAUUCUUCUUGAGUACCAAGACUGGGUUAGCCAACCAUUUGGGGUGGAAAACUUCUACGAUGAAUCCGGCGGCUAAGAGACGGGCAACUUCUUCCUCGAUUGCCUUGCGCCGUUCCUCGUUAAACCUGCAAAGAUACUGCUGGAUAGGUUUUGCCUUUGGGUCAACUUUAAGAUGGUGCUCAGCAAAUUCUCUCGGCACACCAGGCAUGUCAGAAGGUUUCCAUGCGAAGAUGUCCCGAUUCUCACGGAUGAAUUCGAUGAGCAUGCUUUCCUAUUUGGGAUCCAGACCCGUCCCAAUGGUGAACUGCUUGGAUGAAUCGUCAGGAACGAAAUCAACCGUCUUAGUGUCAUCCGUUAGAGGGGCGACUCAACAUCUGUCGUUGGCUUCUUUAACGGUGACAUGUCGGCCGGAUCAACAUUUGCCCGAUGAUUUUUGAGCUCCUCUGCAGCGCAGGCGACUUCCGCAUAAGUCGUGUCCCCUUCUUCACAUUCCUUUGCAAUCCUUCUAUCACCAUCAACUAUGAUGGGUCCCUUUGGACCAGGCAUAUUGAGUUUAAGGUAAACAUAGCAUGGGCGAGCCAUGAACCGGGCGUAAGCUGGCCGCCCAAAUAGCGCACGGUAGGGGCUUUUCAAUUUGACCACCUCAAACAUCAGCGACUCACUCCUGUAGUUAUAUGUUGUUCCAAAUGCAACUGUGAGUCUGACUCGGCCUAUGGGGUACGCCGACUUGCCCGGGACGAUUCCGUGGAAUACCAUGGUUGAAGGCAUCAAAUCCUUUUCCAAUAGGUUCAUCCUUUGGAAAGUGUCAAAAUACAAGAUAUUAAUGCUGCUGCCACCAUCCAUUAGCACUUUCGACAAGGUGUGCCCCCCAACUUGGGGAGCUACGACCAACGCUAAGUCGCCAGGAUUGUCAACUCUUGGCGGAUGAUCCUCCCUACUCCAUGAUAUGGUCUGCCCGGACCAGUGGAGAUACCUGGGAAGUGCCGGCUCAGACACACUGUACGCCCGGUGACUCACCUUUUUAUCACACCUGCAAGCAUUGGUGGUGAAAACAUGGUACUGCCCAUUGUUUAAUUGUUUGGGGUUGUUGCGAAAGCCGCCGUUGUCAUCCUGGCCCUGCGAAGCCCCCUGUGGAGGCGGUUGCUGAAAAACUCCGGGCGGGUUAUACCGCCGCUCGUGAUGCACCGGAUACUGGCCGCUGCUCGGCUGCGAGCCCCCCUGAGCCACCGGCUCGGGAAAACCACCAAAUGGGUUCUGACGUUGGUUGGGGGCAGCAAACUGCUCCUGCCGUUGGUCCGGGUCAGGGUUUUGCCCUUUUUUGAUCGCCUCUGCCCGAAACUCCCGCAUCACGUAACAGUUCUCCCAGGAAUGAGUCGCCAGUCUGUCUGCCAUGGCAUGGUGCGGGCAACGGCCCUUGAGUAACUCUUCAUAGCUACGCGGCUUUUUACCACUGUAUCCCCUGUUUUUCUUCUGGCGUUGGUUGCCAUUGUUGGUGUUGGUAUUGGCGACUAAAUCCGAAGAUUCCUCUUGCUGCCUUCUCUUUCCAUUGGCUCCCUGAUUGUGGCGGUUACGUCCCUGGAACCGGGUAUGUUUUUUGGAUGACUCGCCCUUCUUUGGCGAGUUAACUUUACCAUCCUCACCGGGAUCUUUGGUGGCGUCCACUUCAGCGUAUCUAGUGAGGGUAUCCAUUAGCUCCCCCAUGUCUUGGACCUUUCGCUUGAGUCACCCCAACUUCUGCACCAGAGGUUCAUAGUGGCAAUUCUGCUCGAGGAUCAACACCGCCUGAGCCGCCGUAAUACCGUCUGAUGAAUGAAUAAUUUCCGCGACCCGCCGUGACCAAUGGUGUGCCGACUCAUCGGGGCGCUGAACGCAGUGCUGCAGAUCGACAAUUGUCAUUGGACUUUCGCAGGUUCCUCGGGAGGUUUUGAUGAAGCGCUCUUUCAAUUCAGCCCAGGUUUGGAUGGAGUUGGGGGGUAAGUUUUUUAACCAAGUGCGUGCUGACCCUUCGAGCAUCAUCGUGAAGUAUCUGGCGCAAACUGCUUCGUUUACGUCGAGCAUGUCCAUGGCGAUUUCAUAACUCUCAACCCACGACGCUGGCUCAAGGUCCGGGGUGUAGUUAGGCACCUUUCUUGGUAUUUUAAAAUCCUUGGGCAUUCGUUCGUUGCGAAGGGCGGGGGCGACUUGGACGUUCGGGAGAUCCCGGGCCGGCGGGUUUUGAUGAUCAGGCGGGUUGUCCUGGGGGAUGAGUCGCGGUCCGCUGUUUACAGCGGGCUGGUCCUCUGGCCGAGUCCUGGUAUGACUCGCCUGGGAAGUGGAAUGCAGCCUAUCUAGGCUAUGUGAGAACUGGGCGUUUUGAACCACCGUCGUCUUCAACAUCUCAAUGGCGUUCCUUGCUUCUAUCUCGGCGGGAGUAUUGUCGUGAAUCGGAAGAGAUCCCAAAUGGCGAGUUGCAGCAAGGACGUUGUCCACUGGGUUGGAAAAGUGACCUUGAGGUGUCCGGAAUCGGGGAAUGCGAUCCUCAAUUGGUUGAACCGGCGGGUUAGGUGGUUGGCCUGGUCCUCCCCCUGGGGCAGCUCCCACCCCGGGAGUUCGUGGAGUAUCGAACAGGCAGGUCGGGUUGAGACAGCGGGCAGGCGACCCUGGUGCCUCCGCUGAUGGACGGCGUCAGAUGCACGCUGGUGUCUUUCGAGUCGCCAGUUGUCAGUAUUUAAGCGAGUUCUCUCGGCGGUAAUUUGAGCUUGUCGGGUCUCGAUCCUGGCGGACUCCACCUCGGCAUCCCGAUGAGCCUUUGCCAUUGCUUCUCUUAGUUUCACCAAUUCCGCGUUUACUGCCUCCUGGUUUCCGGUGUGAUGGGGGUCGCCAUAAGCCUUGUAAUUUCCGCUACUAAUUCCACCAAGACAGCGGUCGGGCUUCUAGAUGUCUCGCUAGUUCCAUCCCCGCCUGUCGGGUUUGGCGAGGGUUGAGUCGCCCCAGCCAUGUAAAUGGCGAUCUGGCGGCGGGUUCGGUCAAGGACUUCGGGGUCCAUGGCCAGCGACAAGCCCCCAAGACAAUCCCCAUGUAGAGACUGAAUUGAAUCUGAAUCGCCCAUGGACGAUUCGUCAUCGGUGUUGAUUGGUGUGGUUUCUUGGGUCGCUGAGUGUUCUGGUUCCUCCGAUCCCUGCGUGAACCCAACAAAGACUGGGCGAGUUAGAUUUGGCGUCAUUACUGGACGGACGUACCUGGCCGGCUCGACUAUGUCGGUGGAGAUGUCCGGCUCAGGCACGGAUGAUCCGAUCAUGCCAAUGAAGACGUUGAUCUUGCCGAAGGGGACCGUGUAACCAGAUUCGAUUGAAUCUGCCUCGGGCCCCCAUAGCAGGUUGUUGAUGUAGUACUUCCCACGGCGGCUCCUAGUCAUGAGCCCCGUCGCGUAGGUCCCAAACCCUGGUAGGGCUCCCUUUGAGAACUCAACUCCACCAUGCGCAGGCCCCACGGUGGGCGCCAACUGUCGUGGUUUUGUCACGGCAGAUGUCCUCGUGAAAGGACUUAGUAUUGGAGCCAUCGCACUGUGGCGACUCAAAGGGGUUGAACGGGAGUGAGACGGCGAUUUACCCAGGUUCGGCCCCUCGUGAGGAGGUAAAGGCUUACGUCCUGCUUUGAGUUGUAUUGAUGGAGUUUCGAUUACAAGGAGGGCGUAACUCGCCAGACCUAGUACUCGAUGAUAUCUAACCUGCCCUCUUCUUCCCUGGGACUCGCCUUUAUAUACAGGUCGACUCCCUAGGGUUUACAAGGGUCCUUUCCCUUCUACAAACCGUGACUCUUACAAUCUCUAAGUCGCCAUCUUUCCAAAGCUUGGAAACCUUCCGGCGGUUGUAAACCGCCAUACAACCUUCGGUCUUGCUAGGCCAAGGCCCAAACCAUGCUUAGACGAAUCGCCAGAUUUGGUGACCCGGCCCAACUAGGGUGGGUUAUCAAUAGAUAAUAGCCCCAACAAUGAUCCCUCACUAAAAUUUCAAGAAAUGUGUUUCCCCUAAGUGUGCACUGUUGCGAAGGAUCGUUGUUUCAAAGCACCAUGUGAUGGUCGCAUGUCAUAGAUUCUAAUGUUCGCAUACAACGGGUGUAAGCCAGAUUUAUACACAUGAAACACUUAUGUUGACUUGACGAGCCUAGCAUGUAUAGACAUGGCCUCGGAACAUGGGAGAUUGAAAGGUCGAACAUGAGUCGUAUUGUUGAUGCGAUCAACAUGGAGAUGUUCACCAUUGAUGACUAGUCCAUCUCACGUGAUGAUGAGAGACGGCCUAGUCGAUAUGGAUCAUGUAUCACUUAGAUGACUAGAGGGAUGUCCAUCUGAGUGGGAGUUUAUUAAAUAAUUUGAUUAGAUGAACUUAAUUAUCUUGAACAUAGUCAAAAGGUAUUUGCAAAUAAUGUUGUAGCUUGCGCUGUAGUUUUACUGUUUUUGAUGAGAAAACUUAGUUGAAAGCUGAUAGCAGCAAUUAUGCGGACUCGGUCCGUUAACUGAGAAUUGUCCUCAUUGAUGCACAUAAGGCCUAUGUCCUUAAUGCACCGCUCUGUGUGUUGAAUCUCGAGCGUCGUCUGUGGAUGUUGCGAACAUCUGACAUACACGUUUUUGAUGAGUACGUGAUAGUUCAGUGCGUAAUGCUUAACGACUUAGAAUUGAGGCGGCGGAGACGUUUUGAACGUCACUGAACAUAUGAGAUGAAAUUGGGAUUUCAUGCUCGUGCAAGAUUCUUUGUCUACAAAGUAAGACCUCCGAAAUUGGGAUUUCAUGCUCACGGAACAUAUGAGGCUCAAGAGAUGAAAUUGGGAUUUCAUGUUCGUGCCCUUGUUGAGAGGUAUGAGACCUCCGACAAGAUUCUUUGUCUACAAAGUAAAGGAGAAAAUCUCAAUCAUUGAGCAUGUGCUCAUAUUGUCUGAGUGCUACAAUCAUUGCUUGAAUCGAGUGGGAUUUAAUCUUCCAAAUGAGAUAGUGAUGGUUCUCCAAAGUCACCACCACCAAGAUACUAGAGCUUCGUUAUGAACUAUAACAUAUCAGGGAUAGAUAUGAUAAUCCUUGAGCUAUUCAUGAUGUUUGACACCGCGAAAGUAGAAAUCGAAAAGGAGCAUCAAUUGUUGAUGGUUAGUAAAACCACUAGUUUCAAGAAGGGCAAGGGCAAGAAGGGAUACUUCAUGAAACGACUAACCAAUUGCUGCUCUAGUGAAGAGAUCCAAGGUUGAACCCAAACCCGAGACUAAGUGCUUGUGUAAUAAGGGGAACAGUCACUGAAGAGGAACUAUCCUAGAUACUUGGUAGAUGAGAAAGCUGGCAAAGUCGACAAAUGUAUAUUGGAUAUACAUGAUAUUGAUGUGUACUUUACUAGUUCUCCUAGUAGCACUAGGGUAUUAGAUACUGGUUCAGUUGCUAAGUGUUAGUAACUCGAAAUAAAAGCUACGGAACAAACGGAGACUAGCUAAAAGCGAGGUGACAAUGUGUGUUGGAAGUGUUUCAAAGGUUGAUGUGAUCAAACAUCGCACGCUCCCUCUACCAUCGGGAUUAGUGUUAAACCUAAAUAAUUUUUAUUUCGUAUUAGCAUUGAGCAUACAAAUGAUUGGAUUGUGUUUAUCGCAAUACAAUUAUUCAUUUGAAGAGAAUAAUGGUUACUCUGUUUAUUUGAAUAACACCUUCAAUGGUCUUACACCUAAAAUAAAUGGUUUAUUGAAUAUCGAUCGUAGUGAUACACAUGUUCAUAAUAUUGUUGCCAAAAGAUACAAAGUAGUAAUGAUAAUACCACUUACUUGUGGCACUGCCACUUGAGUCAUAUUGGUGUAAAACGUAUGAAGAAGCUCCAUGCUGAUGGAUCUUUGGAGUCACUCGUUUUUGAAAAGUUUGAGACAUGCGAACCAUGUCUAUUGGUAUAAAACGCAUGAAGAAGCUCCAUGCUGAUGGAUCUUUGGACCCACUCAUUUUUGAAAAGUUUGAGACAUGUGGACCAUGUCUGUUGGUAUAGACACAUGAAGAAACUCCAUACAAAUGGAUCGUUUGGACUCACUUGAUUUUGAAUCACUUGAGACAUGCAAAUCAUACCACAUGGGCAAGAUGACUAAAGGCCUCGUUUUCCAGUGAGAUGGAACAAGAAAGUAACUUGUUGGAAGUAAUACAUUUUGAUGUGUGCAGUCCAAUGAGUACUAAGGCACGCAGUGGAUAUCAUUAUGUUCUUACUUCAGAGAUGAUUUGAGUAGAUACUAGUAUAUUUACUUGACGAAAUACAAGUCUGAAUUAUUGAAAGGUUCAAGUAAUUUCAGAGUGAAGUUGAAGUUCAUCGUGACAGGAGGAUAAAAUGUCUAUGAUAUGAUCAUAGAGAUGAAUAUCCGAGUUGCGAGUUUGGUAAACAUUUAAGACAAUGUGGAAAUUGUUUCACGUGAAAAUUGUUUCACAACUCAUGCCACCUGGAACACCAUAGUCUGAUGGUGUGUCCAUAUGUCAUAGUCGUGCCCUAUUAGAUAUGGUGCAUACUAUGAUGUUUCUUAUCAAAUUACCACUAUCGUUUAUGGGUUAGGCAUUAGAGACAACCGCAUUCACUUUGAAUAGGGCACCACAUAAAUUCCGUUGAGACAACACCGUAUGAACUAUGGUUUAGAGAAACCUAAGCUGUUGUUUCUUAAAAGUUUGGGGGUGCGAUGCUUAUGUGAAAGAGUUUCAACCUGAUAAGCUCGAACGCAAAGCGGAUAAAUGCAUCUUCAUAGGACACCUAAAACAGUUGGGUAUACCUCCUAUCUCAGAUCUGGAAGAAAAGUAUUUGUUUCUAGAAACGGGUCCUUUCUCGAGGAAAAGUUUCUCUCGAAAGAAUUGAGUGGGAGGAUGGUGGAAACUUGAUGAGGUUAUUGAACCAUCACUUCAACCAGUGUGUAGUAGGGCGCAGGAAGUUGUUCUUGUGGCGCCUACACCAAUUAAGGUGGAAGCUGAUGAUAGUGAUCAUGAAGCUUCGGAUCAAGUUACUACCAAACCUCGCAGGUUGACAAGGACGCGUACUAUUCCAGAGUGGUACAGUAAUCCUGUCUUGGAUGUCAUGUUGCUACACAAUAAUGAAUCUACGAGCUAUGGAGAAGCGAUGGUGGGCCCGACUUCCGACAAAUUGCUCGAGGCCAUAAAAUCCGAGAGAGGAUCCAUGUAUGAAAACAAAGUGUAGACUUUGGAAGAACUACUUGAUGGUCACAAGACUUUUAACUACAGAUGGAUCUUUAAAAGGAAGACAUACGAUGAUGGUGAAAAAUCACCAUUAAGAAAGCUCGACUUGUCGCAAAGAUGUUUUCGACAAGUUCAAAAAGUUGACUACGAUGGGACUUUCUCACUCGUAGCGAUGAUAAAAUUCUGUUGGAAUUAUGCUAGCAGUUGUUGCAUCAUUUAUGAAAUCUUGGAGAUCGGAUGUAAAAUAUUGUUUCCUCGAUGGUUUCCUUGAGGAAAGGUUGUAUCUGAUACAACCAGAAGGUUUUGUCGAUCCUAAAGGAUGCUAACAAGUAUGCAAGGCUCGAGCGAUCCUUCUAUGGACUGGAGCAAGCAUCUUGGAGUUGGAAUGUAUGCUUUGAUGAGAUGAUCAAAGAUUUUGGUUUUAUACAAAGUUUAUGAGAAACUUGUAUUUCCAAAGAAGUGAGUGGGAGCACUAUAGAAUUUGUGAUGAGUAUAUGUGGUUGACAUAUUGUUGAUUGGAAAUAAUGUAGAAUUUCUGAAAGCAUAAAGUAGUUUUUAAUGGAAAACCUGGAUUAAGCUACUUGAACAUUGAGCAUCAAGAUCUAUGGAGAUAGAUCAAAGUGCUUAAUAGAACUUCCAAAAAAUGCAUUCCUUGACAAGUUUUUGAAGGAGUUCAAAAUAGAUCGGCAAAGAAGGAGUUCUUGGUUGUGUUGUAAGGUGUGAAUUUGAGUAAGACUCAAAGCCCGACCAUGACAGAAGAAAGAGAAAGGACGAAGGUCGUCCCCUAUGCUUUAGCCGUAGGCUCUAAAGUAUCCCAUGCUGUGUACCGCACCUGAAGUGUGCCUUGCCAUGAGCCAGUCAAGCGGUACAAGAGUGAUCCAUGAAUGGAUCACUCGACGGCGAUCAAAGUUAUCCUUAGUAACUAGUGAACUAAGGAAUUUUUUCUCGAAAAUGAAGGUGGUAAAAAGAGUUCAUUGUAAAGGAUUACGACGAUGCAAGAUUUCUCACUAAUCCAUAUGACUCUAAGUAGUAAACCGGAUUCAUAUAGUGGAGCAGUCAUUUUGAAAUAGUUCCAAAUGCUGCAUGGUAGCAACAUCUAUAGAAUGAAAUAGAGAUUUGUAAAGCACACACGAAUCUGAAAGGUUCAGACCCGUUGUCUAAUAAACUUCUCUCACAAGCAAGACAUGAUAGAACCCCUGAACUGUAUGGGUGUAAGAUUCAUUGCAAUCACAUAGUGAUGUGAACUAGAUUAUUGACUCUAGUGAAGGGAAGACUGUUGGAAAUAUGCCCUAGAGGCAAUAAUAAAUUGGUUAUUAUUAUAUUUCCUUGUUCAUGAUAAUUUUCUAUUGUUCAUGCUAUAAUUGUAUUAACCGGAAACCAUAAUACAUGUGUGAAUACAUAGACCACAACAUGUCCUUAGUGAGCCUCUAGUUGGCUAGCUCGUUGAUGAAUAGAUGGUCAUGGUUUCCUGAUCAUGGACAUUGGAUGUUAUUUAUAACGGGAUCACAUCAUUAGGAGAAUGAUGUGAUGGACAAGACCCAAUCCUAAGCAUAGCACAAGAUCGUGUAGUUCGUCUGCUAGAGAUUUUAUAAUGUCAAGUAUCAUUUCCUUAGACCAUGAGAUUGUACAACUCCCGAAUACCGUAGGAGUGCUUUGGGUGUAUCAAAUGUCACAACGUAACUGGGUGAUUAUAAAGGUCCACUACAUGUAUCUCCGGAAGUGUCUGUUGGGUUGUACGAAUCAAGAUUGGGAUUUGUCGCUCCGUGUGAUGGAGAGGUAUCUCUGGGCCCACUCGAUAAUGCAUCAUCGUAAUGAGCUCAAUGUGACUAAGGAGUUAGCCACGGGAUGAUGUGUUACAGAACGAGUAAAAGAGACUUGUCGGUAACGAGAUUGAACAAGGUAUAGGGAUACCGACGAUCGAAUCUCGGGCAAGUGUCAUACCGGUAGACAAAGGGAAUUCCAUACGGGUUUGAGUGAAUCCUUGACAUCGUGGUUCAUCCAAUGAGAUCAUCAUGGAACAUGUGGGAGCCAACAUGGAUAUCCAAACCCUGUUGUUGGUUAUUGACCGGAGAGAUGUUUCGGUCAUGUGUGCAUGUUUCCCGAACCCGUAGGUUCUACACACUUAAGGUUAAGUGACACUACAAUUGUUAUGGGAAUUGUUUAUGUGGUUACCGAAGGUUGUUCGGAGUCCCGGACAUCCCGAGGAGUUCCGGAAUGGUCUGGAGAUAAAGAUUUAUAUAUGGGAAGUUCAGUCUCAAUAGCCGGAAAAGUUUUGGGGUUUAUCGGUAUUGUACCAGGCUACCGAAAGGGUACCGAGGGUCCACCUGUCCUGGAGGGCCACAUGGGCUGAAAGGGGAGAGGAACCAGCCCCUGGUGGGCUGGUGUGUGCAACUGCAACAAAAGACCUUCCAACGGCGCCAGAAAUAGGCACGUCGACGGGAGAAUACUUGGCUUGAUGUUUCUACUGCGGCUACGCCUUAAGAGACUAUCUAGGCAAGUAUGCAAAGGAUUUCCCACGCGGCCUUGGAGCCUUGCGUGUCUUGUUCCCUCGAAGCGGAAAGGGUGAUGUAGCGUAGCGGUGGUAAGUAUUUCCCUCAGUUUGAGAACCAAGGUAUCAAUCCAGUGGAGGAGUAUCUCAAGAUCCUGCACAAACACAAGAACUUCCUCCCAACGCUAUGAAGGGGUUGUCAAUCCCUUAUAGAUUGUUUGCCAAGUGAGAACUGAAAGCAACAAAGUAACAAAGAAAAGUAAAAGCGGAGAUGUAAACGAUGGAUGUGAAUAGACCCGGGGGCCGUAGUGUUUACUAGUGGCUUCUCUCAUGAAAGCAAGUAGACGGUGGGUGAACAAAUUACUGUCGAGCAAUUGAUAGAACCACGCAAAGUCGUGACGAUAUCUAUGCAAUGAUCAUUUCUAUAGGCAUCACGUCCAAAACAAGUAGAUCGAUACUGUCUGCAUCUACUACUAUUACUCCACACGUCGACCGCUAUCCAGCAUGCAUCUAGUGUAUUAAGUCCAUAAGAACAGAGUAACGCCUUAAGCAAGAUGACAUGAUGUAGAGGGAUAAUCUCAAACCAAUGAUAAAAACCCCAUCUUUUUAUCCUUGAUGGCAAGUACUUGAUAUGUGCCUUGCUGCCCCUACUCUGGGAAAGGUCACCACAUGGCAGAACCCAAAACCAAGCACUUCUCCCAUUGCAAGAAUCAUAGAUCUAGUUGGCCAAACAGAACCCAAGACUCAGAGAGACUUACAAGGAUAUCAAAUCAUGCAUAUAAGAAAUCAGCAAAGACUCAAAUAUAAAUCAUAGAUAAUCUGAUCACAAAUCCACAAUUCAUCGGAUCUUGAAACACACCGCCAAAGAAGAUUACAUCGGAUAGAUCUCCAUGAAGAUCAUGGAGAACUUUGUAUUGAAGAUCCAAGAGAGAGAAGAAGCCAUCUAGCUACUAACUACGGACCCGUAGGUCUGAAGUGAACUACUCACGAGUCAUUGGAGGGGCGAUGAUGAUGAUGAAGAAGCCCUCCAACUCCGAAGUCCCCUCCGGCAGGGUGCCGGGAAGGGUCUCCGAAUGAGAUCUCGCGGAAACGGAAGCUUGCGGCGGCGGAAAUGUAUUUUCGAGGCUCCCCUGAUUUUUUCAGGAAUAUUUGGGAAUUUAUAGGCCAAAGAUCUAGGUCAGGGGCGGCCAGGGAGGCCACAAGCCGGGCCACCGCCGCCUCCCCCUGGUGUUGGAGUGGGGGCUUGUGGGAUCCCUGGAGCCCACCUGGCUUGGCCCAAAAUCCCCCUGGUCUUCUUCCGUUUGGGAAAAAUCAUUUCGGGGCUUUUCUUCCGUUUGGACUCCGUUCCAACAUCAGAUCUAAAAAGGGUCAAAAACACGGAAAAACAUGAAUUGGCACUUGGCACUGAAUUAAUAAGUUAGUCCCAAAAAAGAUAUAAAAGUUACAUAAAACAACCAAAGAAGACAUGAUAACAGCGUAAAACCAUCAAAAAUUAUAGAUACGUUUGAGACGUAUCAAGCAUCCCCAAGCUUAACUCCUACUCGUCCUCGAGUAGGGAAGUGAUAAGAAUUAAUUUUUAUGCUUUCAUGCUACCUAGCAUAGGUGUCCUUUGUAAUUCCUCUUAUGUGACGUGAAUGUUCAGAUCCAUUAGAUUCAAAACAAUAGUUUGCUAUUGACGUGGAAACGAUAAUAAUUCAAGCAAACUAGCAAAGUAAUCAUGAACUUUCAAAAUAAGAAGGCCAAAAGAAAGUUAUCCCUACAAAAGCAUAUAGUCUGGCUAUGCUCUAUCAUCAUUGCACAAUGAAUUUAAAUCAUGCACAACCCCGGUAUUGUCCAAGUAAUUGUUUCANNNNNNNNNNNNNNNNNNNNNNNNNNNNNNNNNNNNNNNNNNNNNNNNNNNNNNNNNNNNNNNNNNNNNNNNNNNNNNNNNNNNNNNNNNNNNNNNNNNNNNNNNNNNNNNNNNNNNNNNNNNNNNNNNNNNNNNNNNNNNNNNNNNNNNNNNNNNNNNNNNNNNNNNNNNNNNNNNNNNNNNNNNNNNNNNNNNNNNNNNNNNNNNNNNNNNNNNNNNNNNNNNNNNNNNNNNNNNNNNNNNNNNNNNNNNNNNNNNNNNNNNNNNNNNNNNNNNNNNNNNNNNNNNNNNNNNNNNNNNNNNNNNNNNNNNNNNNNNNNNNAAUGAGUAGGGAUUGCCAUACAAUUGGUGCACUAGAGCUACGAGUAUGUGAAAGCUCUUAAAGAAAACUAGUGGGUGUGCAUCCAACUUGCUUGCUCACGAAGACCUAAGGCAAUUUUGAGGAAGCCUAUCAUUGGAAUAUACAAGCCAAGUUAUAUAAUGAAAAUUUCCCACUAGAUAUAUGGUGGUGACAAAACGAGAGACCCUCAAUCAUGAAGAUCAUGGUGCUUAAUAUGCACAAGUGUGGAAAAGGUGGUAGCAUUGUCCCUUCUCUCUUUUUCUCUCAUUUGUUUUUAAUUUUGGUGGGCUCUUUGGCCUCUUUUUUUUGUCGGCUUCUUUGGCCUCUUUUAUUUCCUCACAUGGUACAAUGCUCCAUUAAUGAUGAUCAUCACACUUUCAACUCAAAACUUAGAGUAACAAUGACUCUAUAUGCAAUGCCUUCGGUAGUGUACCGUGGCAAUGAUCUAGCAUGGCAUAGACAUCAAUGGAAACAUCAUGCUAGCUAUCUUACAAUCAUGCAAUGGAAUGUAGACGUGGUGGCACAUGUCAUGGUGGUAGUUGCAUGGCAAUAUAUCUCGGAAUGACUUUGAAAAAGCCAUAGUAGGUAAGUAUGGUGGCUGUUUUGAGGGAGGCUAAUGGUGGGUUUGGUGCACCGCCGAAAGUUGCACGACACUAAGAAGAUAGUGAUGGUGGAAGGUGAAAGUGCAUCUAAACCAUGGAUUCAACAUUAGUCAUGAAGAACUCAUAUACUUGUUGCAGAAGUUUUAUUAGUAAUCGAAACAAAGCAUUCAACGCAUACUCCUAGGGGAAGGGUUGGUAGGUAUAAACCAUCGCACGAUCCCAACCGCCAUGCAUACUCCUACGAGAAUCACUAACUUCAACACAAGUAUUUCUAGAUCCACAACACCUUCCUAGCAUGACUUUAAUAUUACCAUAACCACAACUCAAAACUAAUUGAGAUGAAUCAAACUUCUCUAACUAUUCAAUGCACAUGAAGGUGGAAUUUUUCGUAUCCCUUUGGAUAACUACCCCUUUUGAGACUACUUUCAAAGCAUAGAUCAACUACCAAGCCACGCACCGUUGUGCUCUAAAUAUAUAAGUGAAGCACAUAGAGCAAAAGUAUCUAGCUCAAAAGAUAUAAGUGAAGCACAUGUGAGCUGAAUUGUCUACCAAAAGAUAUAAGUGAAGCUCGACAAAAUCACGGCGUGUGCAUGUCUCUCUCUCUAGGUGUGCAGCAAGGAUGAUUGUGAUACAACAAAAAUAAAAGACUCCUACGAUACAAGACGCCCCAAGGAAAAACACAAAACAUGUGGUGAAUAAAUAUAUAUAGCCCCAAGUAACGUUACCGAUGGAUUGAAGACGAGAGACGGGAUGCCUUCCCGGGGCAUCCCCAAGCUUAGGCUUUUACGGCAUCCUUGAAUAUCUUGGGGUGCCUUGGGCAUCCCCAAGCUUGCAUGCNNNNNNNNNNNNNNNNNNNNNNNNNNNNNNNNNNNNNNNNNNNNNNNNNNNNNNNNNNNNNNNNNNNNNNNNNNNNNNNNNNNNNNNNNNNNNNNNNNNNGGGGAAACUUCCCUCCCGGAGGGGGAAAUCGUCGCCAUCGUCAUCACCAACACUCCUCUCAUCGGAGGGGACUCGUCACCAUCAACAUCUUCAUCAGCACCAUCUCAUCUCCAAACCCUAGUUCAUCACUUGUAACCAAUCUCCAUCUCGUGACUCCGAUUGGUACUUGUAAGGUUGCUAGUAGUGUUGAUUACUCUUUGUAGUUGAUGCUAGUUGGAUUACUUGGUGGAAGAGUUUAUGUUCAGAUCCUUGAUGCUACUCAUUACCUCUCUGGUCAUGACUAUGAUUAUGCUUCGUGAGUAGUUACUUUUGUUCCUGAGGACAUGGGAUAAGUUAUGCUAAUAGUAGUCAUGUGAAUUUGGUAUUCGUUCGGUAAUUUGAUAUGUUGUAUGUUGUUUUUCCUCUAGUGGUGUUAUGUGAACGUCGACUACAUAACACUUCACCAUUAUUUUGGCCUAGAGGAAGGCAUUGGGAAGUAGUAAGUAGAUGAUGGGUUGCUAGAGUGACAGAAGCUUAANNNNNNNNNNNNNNNNNNNNNNNNNNNNNNNNNNNNNNNNNNNNNNNNNNNNNNNNNNNNNNNNNNNNNNNNNNNNNNNNNNNNNNNNNNNNNNNNNNNNAUCGUGGGACUGAUCGGGGAUUGUUCGCGGGGCGGAUCGAGGGACGUGAGGACGUUCCACUACAUCAACCGCGUUCUCUAACGCUUCUGCUGUACAAUCUACAAGGGUACGUAGAUCACUCAUCCCCUCUCGUAGAUGGACAUCACCAUGAUAGGUCUUCGUGCGCGUAGGAAAAUUUUUGUUUCCCAUGCGACGUUCCCCAACACCUUAAGUGUGUAGACCCUACGGGUUCGGGAAGCAUGUAGACAUGACCGAGACACCUCUCCGGUCAAUAAUCAACAGCGGGGUCUGGAUAUCCAUGUUGGUUCCCACAUGUUCCACGAUGAUCUCAUAGGAUGAACCACGAUGUUAGGGAUUCAAUCAAUCCCGUAUGCAAUUCCCUUUGUCUACCGGUAUGAUACUUGCCCGAGAUUCGAUCAUCGGUAUCCCUAUACCUUGUUCAAUCUUGUUACCGACAAGUGUUUUUACUCGUUCUAUAACACACCAUGCCAUGCCUAACUCCUUAGUCACAUUGAGCUCAGAAUGAUGACGGAUUACCGAGUGGGCCCAGAGAUACCUCUCCAUCACACGAAGUGACAAAUCCCAGUCUCGAUUCGUACAACCCAACACAUACUUUUGAAGAUACAUGUAGUGCACCUUUAUAAUCACCCAGUUAUGUUGUGACGUUUGAUACACCCAAAGCACUCCUACGGUAUCCGGGAGUUGCACAAUCUCAUGGUCGAAGGAAGUGAUACUUGACAUUAGAAAAGCUUUAGCGGACGAACAACACGAUCUAGUGCUAUGCUUAGGAUUGGGUCAUGUCCAUCACAUCAUUCCCCAAUGACGUGAUCCCAUUAUCAAUGACAUCCUAUGUCCAUGAUCAAGAAACCACGAUCAUAUAUUGAUCAACGAGCUAGCCAACUAGAGGAUCACUAGGGACACAUUGUGAUCUAUAUAUUCACACAUGUAUCAUGGUUUCCGGUUAAUACAAUUAUAGCAUGAAUAAUAGACAAUUAUCAUGAACUAGGAAAUAUAAUAAUAACCACUUUAUUAUUGCCUCUAGGGCAUAUUUCGAACAGUCUCCCACUUGCACUAGAGUCAAUAAUCUAGUUACAUUGUGAUGAAUAGAACACCCAUAGAGUUCCGGUGCUCAUCAUGUUUUGCUCAUGGAAGAGGAUUGGUCAACGGAUCUGUCACAUUCAAAUUCGUAUGUACUUUACAAAUAUCUAUAUCUCCAUCUUGGAUGUCUCCACGAAUGAAGUUGAAGCGGCGAUUGAUGUGCUUGGUCUUCUUGUGAAACCUGGGAUCCUUGGCAAUGACAAUAGCACCAGUGUUGUCACAGAACAGAGUUAUUGGACCUGACGCACUGGGAAUAACUCCUAGGUCAGUGAUGAACUCCUUCAUCCAGACUCCUUCUUGUGUUGUUUCCAAAGCAGCUAUGUACUCCGCUUCACAUGUAGAUGUCGCCACUACACUUUUCUUGCAACUGCACCAGCUGACUACCCUAUUAUUCAAAAUAUACAUGUAUCCGGUUUGUGACUUGGAGUCAUCUGAAUCUGUGUUGAAGCUAGCAUCAACGUAACCCUUUACGACGAGCUCUUCGGCACCUCCAUAAAUGAGAAACAUAUCUUUAGUCCUUUUCAGUACUUUAGGAUAUUCUUGACCGUUGUCCGGUGAUCCACUCCUGGAUCACUUUGGUACCUCCCUACCAAACUUACGGCAAGGUUCACAUCAGGUCUGGUACACAACAUGGCAUACAUGAUAGAGCCUAUGGCUGAAGCAUAGGGGACGGUACUCAUCUUUUUUCUAUCUUCCGUCGUGGUCGGGCAUUGAGUCGUACUCAACCUCACACCUUGUAAUACAGGCAAGAACCCCUUCUUUGCCUUAUCCAUAUUGAACUUCUUCAAUAUAUUGUCAAGGUAUGUGCUUUGUGAAAGACCAAUGAGGCAUCUCGAUCUAUCUCUAUAGAUCUUGAUGCCUAAUAUGUAAGCAGCUUCUUCAAGGUCCUUCAUUGAAAAACUCUUAUGCAAAUAGGCAUAAGAUAGAAGGUAAAAUAGGAACCGAUCCUUUCUAGAGAAAGAGGUUCUUGGCAACAAAGAUCUUGCCUUCGGAUCUAAGAUAGAAGGUAUACCCAAUAGUUUCCUUAGGGUAUCCUAUGAAGACGCAUUUUUUCGAUUUGGGUUCGAGCUUCUCAGGUUGAAGUUUCUUCACAUAAGCAUCACAGCCCCAAACUUUCAGAAAUGACGGCUUAGGUUUCUUGCCAAACCAUAAUACAUACGGUGUCAUCUCAAGGGAUUUAGACGGUGCCCUAUUUAAAGUGAAUGCGGCAGUUUCCAAUGCAUAUCCCCAAAAUGAUAGCGGUAAAUCUGUAAGACACAUCAUAGAUUGCACCAUAUCCAAUAAAGUGCGAUUACGACGUUCAGACAAACCGUUACGCUGCGGUGUGCCAGGCGGCGUUAGUUGUGAAAUAAUUCCACAUUUCCUUAAGUGCGUGCCAAACUCGUAACUCAAAUAUUCUCCUCCAAGAUCAGUCGUAAGAACUUUCUUUUCUUGGCACGUUGAUUCUCCACCUCACUCUGAAAUUCCUUGAACCUUUGAAAGGUUUCACACUUGUGAUUCAUUAAGUAAACAUACCCAUAUCUACUUAAAUCAUCAGUGAGGGUGAGAACAUAACGAUAGCCACUGCGAGCCUCAACGCUCAUUGGACCGCAUACAUUGGUAUGUAUUAUUCCCAAUAAGUUGGUUGCUCGCUCCAUUGUUCCGGAGAACGGAGUCUUUGUCAUCUUGCCCAUGAGGCACUGUUCGCAUGUGUCAAAUGAUUCAAAAUCAAGAGACUCCAAAAGUCCAUCUGUAUGGAGUUUCUUCAUGCGCUUGACACCGAUAUGACCAAGGCGGCAGUGCCACAAGUAUGUGAGACUAUCAUUAUCAACUUUAUAUCUUUUGGUACUCACACUAUGAAUAUGUGUAACAUCAUGAUUGAUAUUCAUCAAGAAUAAACCAUUGACUAACGGGGCAUGACCAUAAAACAUACCACUCAUAUAAAUAGAACAACCAUUAUUCUCAGAUUUACAUGAGUAGCCAUCUUGCAUCAAGCGAGAUCCUGAUACAAUGUUCAUGCUCAAAGCUGGUACUAAAUAACAAUUAUUAAAGUUUAAAGCUAAUCCCGAAGGUAGAUGUACAGGUAGCAUGCUGACGGCGAUCGCAUCGACUUUGGAACCAUUCUCGACGUGCAUCGUCACCUCGUCCUUUGCCAGCCUACGCUUGUUCCACGGUUCCUGCUUAGAGUUGCAAAUGUGAGUUACAGCACCGGUAUCAAAUACCCAGGAGCUACUACGAGCGCUGGUAAGGUACACAUCAAUAACAAGUAUAUCACAUAUAUCUUUGAUGUUACCGGCCUUCUUAUCUGCUAAGUACUUGGGGCAAUUCCGGUUCCAGUGAGCGGUUCCCUUGCAGUAAUAGCACUCAGUCGCAGGCUUGGGUCCUUUCUUGCCUUCUUCCCGGCAACUGGUUUACCCGGCGUGGCAAAUGUUUUUCUGUCUUUCUUGAAGUUCAUUUUACCCUUGCCUUUUUUGAAACAGGUGGUCUUAUUCACCAUCAACACUUGAUGUUCUUUCUUGAUUUCUACCUUCCUAGAUUUCAGCAUUGAAUACAACUCGGGAAUAUUCUUUUGCAUCCCUUGCAUGUUGUAAUUCAUCGCAAAGCCUUUAUAGCUAGGUGGAAGCGACUGGAGGAUUCUGUCAACGACCGCAUGAUCCGGAAGUUCAACUCCCAGCUAAGUCAAGCGGUUGUGCAACCCAGACAUUCUGAGUAUGUGCUCACUGACAGAACUAUUCUCCUCCAUCUUACAGCUAAAGAACUUGUGGGAGACUUCAUAUCUCUCGACCCGGGCAUGAGCUUGAAAAACAAGUUUCAGCUCCUCGAACAUCUCAUAUGCUCCAUGUUGCUCAAAACGCCUUUGGAGCCCCGGUUCUAAACUGUAAAGCAUGUCGCACUGAACCAGAGAGUAGUCAUCACUACGCGAUUGCCAGGCGUUCCUAACGUCAUGGUCUGCCGCGAGAAUGCGAGGAUCACCUAGCGGUGCAUUAAGGACAUAUGCCUUCUUGGAACCAGUGAGGAUGAGCUUUAAGUUACAAGCCCAAUCCGCAUAGUUGCUCCCAUCAUCUUUCAGCUUGGUUUUCUCUAGGAACGCGAUGAAGUUGAAUGAGACAUUUGCGUUAGCCAUUGGAUCUACAAUAUUUGUAAAUACAAUUUUAGACUAAAUCCAUGAUAAUUAAGCUCAUCUAAUCAAAUUACUAAUGAACUCCCACUUAAAUCGACAUCCCUCUAGUCACCCAAGUGUUACAUGAUCCACGUCGACUAGCCCGUGUUCGGUCAUCACGUGAGACGGACUAGUCAUCAAUGGUGAGCAUCUCCAUGCUGAUCGUAUCAUCCAUACGACUCAUGUUCGACCUUUCGGUCUCCCGUAUUCGAGGCCACGUCUAUACAUGCUAGGCUCGUCGAGUCAACCUAAGUGUUUUGCGUGUGUAAAUCUGGCUUACACCCGUUGUAUGCAAAUGUUAGAAUCUAUCACACCUGAUCAUCACGUGGUAUUUCGAGAGAACAAUCCUUCGCAACGGUGCACACUUAGGGGAAUACUUAUCUCGAAAUUUUAUGAGGGGCCAACUUAUCUUUGCUACCUUCGUUCUAAGCAAUAAGAUGAAAAACAUGAUAAACAUCACAUGCAAUCAUAUAGUGACAUGAUAUGGCCAAUAUCAUCUUGCUCCUUUGAUCUCCAUCUUCGGGGCACCAUGAUCAUCAUUGUCACCGACAUGACACCAUGAUCUCCAUCAUCAUGAAAUCCAUCAUUGUGUAUUUGCGAAUUCGUCUCGCCAACUAUUACUUCUACUACUAUAGUUAACGGUUAACAAUAAAGUAAAGUAAUCGCAUGGUGUUGCAUCUCAUACAAUAAAUUAAGACAACUCCUAUGCUCCUGCCGGUUGUCAUAAUCAUCGACAUGCAAUUAGUGAAUCCUAUUACAAGAACAUGAUCAAUCUCAUACAUCACAUAUGUAACAUCACAUCCUUUUGGCCAUAUCACAUCACAUAACAUACCCUGCAAAAACAAGUUAGACGUCCUCUAAUUGUUGUUGCAAGUUUUACGUGGAUGAUUAGGGUUUCUAGCAAGAACGCUUCUUACCUACGUGACAGCCACAACGUUGAUAUGCCAAUGCUAUUUACCCAUCCACCACCUCUCAUUCAUAGAGGAAGCACUCAUAACACACAUACACUUUCUGUUGGAAAUAUGCCCUAGAGGCAACGAUAAAUAGUUAUUAUUAUAUUUCCUAUUUAACGAUAAUCAUUUAUUAUCCAUGCUAUAAUUGUAUUGAAUGAAAACAUAGAUACAUGUGUGGAUACAUAGCAAAACAAUGUCCCUAGCAAGCCUCUAGUUGGCUAGCCAAUUGAUCAAGGAUAGUCAAGGUUUUCUGGCUAUGUGCAAGUGUUGUCACUUGAUAAUUUGAUCACAUCAUUAGGAGAAUCAUGUGAUGGACUAGACCCAAACUAUGAACGUAGCAUAUUGAUCGUGUCGUUUUAUUGCUAUUGUUUUCUGCAUGUCAAGUAUUUGUUCCUAUGACCAUGAGAUCAUAUAACUCACUGGCACCGGAGGAAUACCUUGUGUGCAUCAAACGUCACAACAUAACUGGGUGACUAUAAAGGUGCUCUACAGGUAUCUCCAAUGGUGUCAGUUGAGUUAGUAUGGAUCAAGACUGGGAUUUGUCACUCCGUGUGACGGAGAGGUAUCUCGGGGCCCACUCGGUAAUACAACAUCACACACAAGCCUUGCAAGCAAUGUGACUAAGUGUAAGUCACGGGAUCUUGUAUUAUGGAAUGAGUAAAGAGACUUGCCGGUAACGAGAUUGAAAUAGGUAUGCAAAUACCGAUGAUCGAAUCUCGGGCAAGUAACAUACCGAAGGACAAAGGGAAUGAGAUACGGGAUUAUAUGAAUCCUUGACACUAAGGUUCAACCGAUAAGAUCUUUGAAGAAUAUGUAGGAUCCAAUAUGGGCAUCCAGGUCCCGCUAUUGGAUAUUGACCGAGGAGUACCCCGGGGCAUGUCUACAUAGUUCUCGAACCCGCAGGGUCUGCACACUUAAGGUUUGAUGAUAUUUUAGUAUAGUUGAGUUAUAUGUGUGGUUACCGAAUGUUGUUUGGAGUCCCGGAUGAGAUCACGGACGUCACGAGGGUUUCUGGAAUGGUCCGAAAACGAAGAUCGAUAUAUAGGAUGGUUUCAUUUGGUUAUCGGAAAGUUUCGGGCAAUUCCAACAGUGUACCGGGAGUGACGAAUGGGUUCCGGGAGUUCAUCGGGAGGGGCCCACCCACCCAAGAAUGAGCCCAAGGCCAUAGGGUGACGCCACAAGUCCCUAGUGUGCUGGUGGAGUCAGCCCAAGGGGCCCAUGGCACCACUUAAAGAAAUACCAAAAAGAAAAGAAAAAGAAAAGGAAAAAAGGGGAGGUGGGAAGGAAGGGGAGGACUCCUUCCCCAAACCGAAUUGGAGGAGGAGUCCUCCUCCUCCUUGGACGGUGCACCCCUUGAGGGCUUGGCCAUCAAGACAAGCCUCCUUCCCCUCCCUCCUAUAUAUAGUGGUCUUUUAGGGCUGAUUUGAGACAACUUUUGCCACGUGCAACUCAACCCUAGACCACAUAGUUCUACCUCUAGAUCGAAUUUCUGCGGAGCUCGGGCGGAGCCCUGCAGGGGUAGAUCAUCACCACCACCGGAGCGUCGUCACGCUGCCGGAGAACUCAUCUACUUCUCUGUCUUGCUUAUUGGAUCAAGAAGGUCGAGAUCAUCAUUGAGUUGUACAUGUGAUGAACGCGGAGGUGUCGUCCAUUCGGCACUAGAUCGGAACGGAUCGUGGGACGGAUCUCGGGACGGUUCGUGGGGCGGAUCGCGGACAUGAAGAUGUUCCACUACAUCAACUGUGUUUCUUAACGCUUCCUGUUGUGCGAUAUACAAGGGUACGUAGAUCCAAAUGUCCUCUCAUAGAUGGACAUCACCAUGAUAGGUCUUUGUGUGCGUAGGAAAUUUUUUGUUUCCCAAUCAACGUUCCCCAACAGUGGCAUCAUGAGCUAGGUUCAUACGUAGAUGUUAUCUCGAGUAGAACACAAAAGGUUUUGUGGACGGUGAUGUUCGAUUUGCUACCCUCCCUAGCGUUUUCUCGAUUUAGCGAUAUUGUUGGAUUGAAGCGGCCCGGACCGACAUUACUCGUACGCUUACGAGAGACUGGUUUCAUCGACUAACAUGCAACCUCGUUGCAUAAAGAUGACUGGCGGGUGUCAUUUUCUUCAACUUUAGUUGAAUUGGUUUUGACCGAGGCGGUCCUUGGAGACGUUAAAUAGCAAUUUGCACAUCUCCGUUGUGGGUUUUGCGUAAGUAAGAAGCGACCAUACUUGAUACCCAUAGCAACCACGUAAAACAUGCAACAACAAAUUAGAGGACGUCUAACAUGUUUUUGCGGGGUAUGCUUGUGAUAUGAUAUGGCCAAUGACAUGAUGUGAUAUAUUGGAUGUAUGAGAUGAUCAUGUUGUAAUAGUUAAUAUCGACUUGCACGUCGAUGCUACAGCAACCGGCAGGAGCCAUAGGGUUAUCUUUAAACUAACGUUUGUGUUUGCAGAUGCAUUUACUAUAUUGCUAGGACGUAGCUUUAGUAGUAAUAGCAUAAGUAGCACGAUAACCUCAAUGGUGACACGUUGAUGGAGAUCAUGAUGAUGGAGAUCAUGGUGUGGCGCCGGUGACAAGAAGAUCGUGUCGGUGCUUUGGUGUUGGAGAUCAAGAAGCACAUGAUGAUGGCCAUAUCAUGUCACUUAUGAAUUGCAUGUGAUGUUAAUCCUUUUAUGCACCUUAUUUUGCUUAGAACGACGGUAGCAUUAUGAGGUGAUCUCUCACUAAAAUUUCAAGACAAAAUUGUGUUCUCCCCGACUGUGCACCGUUGCUACAGUUCGUCAUUUCGAGACACCAUGUGAUGAUCGGGUGUGAUAGACUCAACGUUCACAUACAACGGGUGCAAAACAGUUGCACACGCGGAACACUAGGGUUAAGCUUGACGAGCCUAGCAUGUGUAGACAUGGCCUUGGAACACAUGAGACCAAAAGGUUGAGCAUGAAUCGUAUAGUUGAUAUGAUUUGCAUAGAGAUGCUUACCACUGAAACUAUUCUUAACUCACAUGAUGAUCGGACUUGAGUUAGUGAAUUUGGAUCAUGUACCACUCAAAUGACUAGAGAGAUGUACUUUUUGAGUGGGAGUUUAGCAAGUAAUUUGAUUAGUUAAACUCUAAUUAUCUUGAACAUAGUCUAAGUCCACGUUGAAAUAUUUGUGUUGUAGAUCAAUGGCUCAUGCGACAGUCACCCUGAAUUUUAAUACGUUCCUAGGGAAAGCUAGGUUGAAAGAUGAUGGAAGCAACUUUGUAGACUGGGCUCGUAAUCUUAAGUUGCUCCUGCAAGCUGGGAAGGAGGAUUAUGUCCUUAAUGCUGCGCUAGGAGAUGAACCACCCGCUACGGCUGACCAAGAUGUUAAGAACACUUGAUUAACACGUAAGGAGGACUACUCAGUAGUUCAAUGUGCAGUCUUGUAUGGCUUAGAGCCGGGACUUCAACGUCGCUUUGAGCGUCAUGGAGGAUUUGAGAUGUUCCAGGAGUUGAAGUUUAUCUUUCAGAAGAACGCCCGGAUCGAGAGGUAUGAGACCUCUGAUAAAUUCUAUGCUUGCAAGAUGGAGGAGAAUUCGUCUGUCAGUGAACAUGUGCUCAAAAUGUCUGGAAAAUCAAACUGUCUAGCUGAGCUCGGGAUUGAACUCCCGCAAGAGGCUAUCACUGACAGAAUUCUUCAAUCACUGACACCAAGCUACAAGAGCUUUGUGUUGAACUAUAACAUGCAAGGGAUGAACAAGUCACCCGGCGAGUUAUUCGCGAUGCUGAAAUUCACAGAGUCAGAACUCCGUAAAGAGCAUCAAGUGUUGAUGGUGAAUAAGACCACUAGUUUCAAUAGAAACGGCAAAGGAAAGAAGGAUAAUUCCAAGAAGAGCGGAAGGCCUGUUGCCAAUCCGACGAAGAAACCCAAAGUUGGACCUAAGCCUGAAACAGAGUGUUAUUAUUGCAAGGGUAUGGAUCACUGGAAGCGCAACUGCCCCAAGUAUUUGCCUGAUAAGAAGGCGGCCAAGGAAAAAUCAGGUAUAUUCGAUAUACAUGUUAUUGAUGUGUACUUAACGAGCUCUUGUAGUUUUGCCUGGGUAUUCGAUACCGGUUCUGUUGCUCAUAUUUGCAACCCGAAAUAGGAACUAUGGAAUAAGCGAAGGCUGGCGAAGGAUGAAGUGACGAUGCGCGUAGGAAAUGGUUCCAAGGUUGAUGCAAUCACCGUCGGCAUAGUUUCACUUCAGUUACCAUCAGGAUUAGCUAUGAACUUAAAUAAUUGUUAUUUAGUGCCUGCGUUACAGCAUGAACAUUAUAUCUGGAUCUUGUUUAUUGCAAGACGGUUACUCGUUUAAGUCAGAGAAUAAUGACUCUUCUAUUUCUACGAGUAAUAUCUUUUAUGGUCAUGCACCCAAUGUGAGAGGAUUGUUAAUAUUGAAUCUUGAUAGCGGAUAUACACAUAUACAUAACAUUGAGACCAAAAGAGCUGGAGUUAACAAUGAUAGCGCCUUGUUUUUGUGGCACUCCCGCUUAGGUCAUAUUGGUGUAAAGCGCAUGAAGAAACUCCAUUCCGAUGGACUUUUGGAGUCACUUGACUUUGAUUCACUUGACACGUGCGAACCAUGCCUCAUGGGCAAGAUGACUAGGACUCCGUUCUCCGGAACAAUGGAGUGUGCAAGUGACUUAUUUGAAAUCAUACAUACCGAUGUGUGUGGUCCGAUGAGUGUGGAGGCGCGCGAUCGGUAUCGUUAUUUUCUCACCUUCACUGACGAUUGAGUAGAUAUGGUUAUUUCUACUUGAUGAAGCACAAGUCUGAAACGUUUCAGAAGUUCAAGCAAUUUCAGAAUGAAGUCAAAAAUCAUCGUAACAAGAAGAUCAAGUUCCUACGGUCUGAUCGUGGGGGUGAAUAUCUGAGUUUCGAGUUUGGUGCUCACUUAAGAAAAUGUGGAAUUGUUUCACAGUUGACACCGCCUGGAACACCACAGUGUAAUGGUGUGUCCGAACGUCGUAAUUGUACUUUAUUAAAGAUGGUGUGAUCUAUGAUGUCUCUUACCGAUUUGCCGUUAUCGUUUUGGGGUUAUGCAUUAGUGUGACACCCUGAAUUUGAUGCUAUAGUAAUCUGAGGAUUAAACUAAUCCAAUUAUGAUCACUGUUGGAAUCAACCCUGAUUCAAAUCUCUUGCAAUUCAAAAUCAUUUGAAAAGUGAAAUUUAAAAGUUUUGCAAACCAGUAAAUAAAAAUCAUGCAUAGGUUUCAAAUAUUCGCUCAGAAUUUCUAGAAAUGCAAAACACAUCUUUGCAAAUGUUUAGGUGCCCCUAAAACCAUUUAACAGAUUCGAGAACAAUUAUUAAGUGCCUUUUGGGAUUAUAUUAUUUUCUAUCAUUUUCAAAAGGUCCCCAAAUUUAAUUGUGGCUAUACAAAUAUUGCAAUGCACAUAUUGGGCAUGUUCACUUAUUGUUGUAAUGGUCAUUUUUUACUAAUCUUUAAAACAUAAUAGUCUAAUUAAAAAGGUUUUAAAAAAUAAUAAAAAUAAAUCCCCGGUCCAACUAGGCCAAUCGGCCGAGCAGGCCGGCCAACCCCUACAACCCAUCCACCUGGGGGUAUAAGACCCCCAGGGAAACCCUAGCGCUACCCCCUCCCAUUUUUCCCACCCCGCCGCCAGGGAACCGAGCCCCUAGCUCGAUCCCCACCAACCCUCCCGCGCCAGACCCCCAACUCCCCUCGAUCUCUCUCCCUCCCCUCGUUUCCCAGUAUCAGACCUAAGCCCCCACCGAGCCUCUCCCUCACCCCCUCGUCAGCCGUGUCUCCCUCCCCACCGAGCAGCUCGAGGGCCUCCCCUCGCCGGCCACCACCACCGGCCCGGGCUCCUUCUUCGACCCCCCCUCAUCGGCCCUCCUUCACUCCCGUGCCGGAUCCACCGCGCCGCCACGUCGCCUCGCCCGCGACCCUACACCCGCCCCGCUGGCACCCUCUCCCCUGGAGGCUUCCCUCGACCCGGUCGAUCUAGGCCAUUCCCGCCACCGCUGCCGGCCACGGCGGGCACCACCUCGCCCUCUCCCCAGUCGGCUUUGUCAAGCCUCGCCGCUCGCCUCCUCUCCAACGCACGUGAGCCCCUCGGGCUCCUCCCACCCCUCUCAUCUCCCUCCACUUCGUCUACCACUCCGCCGACCCCGACCCCAUGAGCCUCUAGCCGCUGCGCUGCCCCUUGCCGGCCACCGCUACAACUGCGCAUGCUCAGCCGUGCAUGCCCCCCCCCGCUCGCUGCUAUUAUGCAUUGCUGCUGUGCUGCGCUACCUGUUGUUGCUUUGUGCUGCUGCUUCCCGCUGGCGCUGCCCCGCGAGCAUCCCGGUGCGCCUCCUACCGCCUAUCGCCCGCACUCGCCACCCCUCCCUACUCCCUGUGGCGACAAUAGCUCUUUCCCCGUUGGCGGCCCUCGCCACCUCCCCAUCGGCUGCUGAGGGUUGUGACAACCCUCGCGUUGUUUUGGUUAAUGGGGAUUGAAGCCCCCCACUAACCCAACUCACACAUGAGGCCCACACCCCCUACUAAUUAAAAUGUUUUAAUAAUAAUAAUAAUAAUAAUAACAUAAGUAAAUAAUUAUUAAUUAACUUAAUUAGAGUAAUUAGAUGAAUUUAACAUUAGAUAAGUUAAGCUAAGUAUGACAUGUGGGCCCAUCCAAAUUUUAGAAUUAAUUAAAUCUCUUAUUUAAACUUGAUAUUUAUUUUAGAUUAAAUAGACAGUGACAUGUGGGUCCAUCCCCCUAAAUUAGUUAAUUAAAUUAAACUAAACCCUAUUUAAACCUGAGUCUCUGUCACAAGGGCCCCACGAGUCAGUUCGACCAGUCAACUGUUGAUGUCANNNNNNNNNNNNNNNNNNNNNNNNNNNNNNNNNNNNNNNNNNNNNNNNNNNNNNNNNNNNNNNNNNNNNNNNNNNNNNNNNNNNNNNNNNNNNNNNNNNNNNNNNNNNNNNNNNNNNNNNNNNNNNNNNNNNNNNNNNNNNNNNNNNNNNNNNNNNUCAUGUUGAUGUCAUAAUUGCUUUUAAUCAAUUUAAUUAAAUCUGUUUUUAAUUCCUAAAUAUUUAAUAAAACUUUAAAAAAUAAUAUAAAACAAUUCGUAAGUCAGAUCAAAAUAUUUUUAACAUGAAAGUUGAUCAGCAGAACGAGACGAACCCGGAUACACGGUCCGUUCGUUUGUCACGCGUCCCUAGCAUAGCAAACAUGGAACUUUUCCAUCAUUUCUCGUCCGACUAGUAGUAGCCAGAGACCCAGAAAAUAUCAUCAGAUAUUCUUCCGAUCCGUCUAUGGCGGAUGUUGGUGCGUUAGCUCAUGUCUAGCUUGCAUCUUGCCAUGUCAUGCAUUGUGUUGCACCGUUGCUAUUAUUUAUUGUUUCUUCCCCCUCUUCUUACCGGUAGACCCCGAGACUGACGCUGCUGCCGGGUACAUCUACGACCAUGCAGAUCAGUCCUUUGCCGCAGAGCAGCAAGGCAAGAAAACCCCCUUUGAUCAUUCCUAUAUCGCCUAUGUCUUUCUUCCUACUGCUUGCAUUAGUAUUUUGCUAUUGUUGUAGUUAGCUCCUAUAUCUGAUGCAUAGCCUAUUUUUGAUGAACUGCUGUUUUCAGUACUGUACUUUAAAUCUUCUUAGUAUAGGUGGAGCAGUCACCCCCUCUGACCCCGUAGUGCAGUUGCCCCGCUUGUUUUCAGAUCUCGUUCCCUGAUCGAUGAGCCAGACCCGACACAACAUAUACACCCCCCUUAGUUGUACGACGCUACAGAGAUACUAUCGGGAACCGAGGGUGACACCUCGCUAAGUACUCCUGAUGAUAUCUCUGUAGUAUAGCUAGUCGGUCGUGGUUAUGGAGGGUGAUUCCUCUUUCACCAUUCCCGACGAUGCCUCUGUCGUGCAACCCCUCAAGUCUGGGACUAAUACGUCUCCAUCGUAUCUACUUUUCCAAACUCUUUUGCCCUUGUUUUGGACUCUAAUUUGCACGAUUUGACUGGAACUAACCCGGACUGACGUUGUUUUUAGCAGAACUGCCAUGGUGUUGUUUUUGUGCAGAAAUGAAAGUUCUCGAAACGUCCUGAAAAUUUACGGAGAAUAUUUCUAGAAAAUUUGAAAAAUACGUGUGCAAAGAUCCACCGGAGGAGACGGGCCAGUGGGCCACAAGCCCUGUAGCCGCGGCCUCCCCCCUAGUCGCGGCUACCAAGCUUGUGGGGCCCACGUGGCUCCGCCGCCCCUAAUUCCAGCGCUAUUUAUUCCCUUUCGUCCCGGAAAAAAUCAAGAUAGAGGAGUUCAUCGCGUUCCACGAUCCAGAGGCGCCGCCACAUCCCGUUCUUGCCCUGGAGGGCAGAUCUGGAGUCUGUUUUGGGCUCCGGAUCAAGGAGAUCGUCGCCGUCGUCAUCAUCAACCUUCUUCCCUCUCCAAUUCCAUGAAGCUCUUCAUCGUUCGUGAGUAAUCUAUUCGUAAGCUCGCUGGGCGGUGAUGAGAUCUAUCAUGAAAUCGAGUUAGUUUUGACGGGGAUUGAUCCCUAGUAUCCACUAUGUUCUAAGAUUGAUGUUGCUACUACUUUUCCAUGCUUAAUGCUUGUCACUAGGGCCCGAGUGCCAUGAAUUGAGAUCUGAAAUUAUUAUGGUUUCACCAAUAUAUGUGUGUUUUAGAUCCGAUCUUGCAAGUUUUAGUUACCUACUAUGUGUUAUGAUCCGGCAACCCCGGAGUGACAAUAACGAGAACCAUUCCCGGUGAUGACCAUAGUUUGCGGAGUUCAUGUGUUCACCAAGUGCUAAUGCGUUGGUCCGGUUCUUUAUUAAAAGGAGAACCUUAAUAUCCCGUAGUAUCCAUUUGGACCCCGCUGCCACGGGAGGGAUGGACAAUAGAUGUCAUGCAAGUUCUUUUCCCUAAGCAUGUAUGACUACACACGGAAUGCAUGCCUACAUCACAUUGACGAACGGAAGCUAGCCACAUAUCUCUCCGUGUUAUAACUGUUGCAUGAUGAAUGUCAUCCAACAAAUCACCGAUCCAUUGCGUACGAGUUUGUCCCACUUCUGCUAUUACUACUGUUGCUGUUACUUGCUUUGCUCUGCUACUGUUACUUGCUUUGCUCUGUUGCUGUUACUUGCUUUGCUCUACUGUUGUUACUACUGUUGCUGCUAUUGUUACUUGCUUUGUCCUGCUGCUGCUGUCACUACUAUUGCUACUGCUGUUAGUUGCUACUGCUGCUACUUGCUACUGCUGUCACUAUUGAUGUUCCUUGCCACUGUUGUUACUCGUUACACUGCUACUACCUACUACAAUACUUUUCUGGCGCCAUUAAUACUUCAGUUAGGAAUAAUUUGCCGUCAACAGAUUCUUUCCUAGCACCGUUGCUAUCAUACUACCUUUGCUGCUUAUAUCCUGCUUGCAGAUACUAAUCUUUCAGGUAUGGUUGAGCCGACAACUCAACUGCUAAUACUGGAGAAUAUCCUUUCACUACCAUCGUGUCGAACCAACAAAUUUGGGUUGAAUACUCUACCCUCGAAAACUGCCGCGAUCCCACACUCUAGUGGGCCAUUGCAACACAAUUGCUAAUUGUUGAGCAACUGGAAGCAGCUCUUUUCUGGCGCCGUUGCCGGGGAAGGGAAGCAGGGACCCCCGAGGGUGAUUCCUCUAAGCCCACCUUGACGGAUACAUCGUUCGUAAUCCAAUGAGGGUGAUACCUCGGAUUCCCCCCGGUGUUACAACCACACAGUUACUCGAUCAUGUUACUCGUAUCAUUGGUGAUUAGUUGUUAAGACGGGUGGAUUCCCGUGAGAUUGUGUCGAUGGCCUAAUUAAAAUGUUAAUAGAUUUGGGUAUUUGAUCUGGGUUCGUUGGAGACCUUUUCGCACUAACCGUCUGCGUGGGAAGAAUUAUGGGUACUCGACGUCGCAGUAUCAGCCGAAGCUCUUCAGACGUCAGCGAUGAAGCAGCGCGCGCCCCAGUGGUCCUGAGAUGCAUCGCGCUUGUGGUUAAAGGGUGCUAGGACUGACGUCGGCCUCCCUCGUAUCAUGUAGGAGCGCGGAGGGGACCUGGGCCCACGAACCCUCUAUGCUUAGGAUUAAGACCGGCGGGCUGGCCUCGUUGCUGAGCUUAGGUGGGGCUGCGACGUGUAGAUAUUCCAAGGCCGGGCAGGACCCAGAAAAGUGUGUCCGGCCAGAGUGUUAUCGAGCGCGUCGGUACAUGUGCUGCACCCCUGCAGAGAUGAAAAUUAGCUAUUCGAAUAGCCGUGUCCACGGUUACAGGACGACUUGGAGUUGUGCCCUGAUCUUUGAUACGUCUCCGUCGUAUCUACUUUUCCGAACUCUUUUGCCCUUGUUUUGGACUCUAAUUUGCAUGAUUUGAAUGGAAGUAACCCGGACUAACGCUGUUUUCAGCAAAAUUGCCAUGGUGUUGUUUUUGCACAGAAAUAAAAGUUCUCGGAAUGACCUGAAAAUUAACGGAGAAUUUUUCUGGAAUUAAUGAAAAAUACUGGCGCAAGAAUCAGCGGGAGAGGUGGAGCCGUGCGCCCACAAGCCCACCAUGCCCCCCCUGGCCGAGCCUGGCAGGCUUGUGGGGCCCACAAAGCUCCACCGCCUCUCAAUCCAGCUCUAUAUAGUCCGUUUCGUCCGGAAAAAAUUCAGAGAGAAGGAUUCAUCGCGUUUUACGAUACGGAGGUGCCGCCACCUCCUGUUCUUCAUCUGGAGGGCAGAUCUGGAGUCCGUUCUGGGCUCCGGAGAGGGGAGAUCGUCGCCAUCGUCAUCAUCAACCUUCCUCCAUCGCCAAUUCCAUGAUGCUCUUCACCGUUCGAGAGUAAUCUCAUCGUAGGCUUGCUGGACGGUGAUGGGUUGGAUGAGAUCUAUGAUGUAAUCGAGUUAGCUUUGACGGGGAUUGAUCCCUAGUAUCCACUAUGUUCUCAGAUUGAUGUUGCUACUAUUUGCCAUGCUUAAUGCUUGUCACUAGGGCCCAAGUGCCAUGAUUUUAGAUCUGAACCUAUUAUGUUGUCGCCAAAAUAUGUGUGUUUUAGAUCCUAUCUUGCAAGUUGUAGUCACCUACUAUGUGUUAUGACCCGGCAACCCCGGAGUGACAAUAGCCGAAACCACUCGUGGAGAUGACCAUAGUACGAGGAAUUCAUGUAUUCACCAAGUGUUAAUGCGUUGGUCCGGUUCUUUAUUAAAAGGAGAACCUUAAUAUCCCGUAGUUUCCAUUAGGACCCUGCUACCACGGGAGGGAUUGACAAUAGAUGUCAUGCAAGUUCUUUUCCCUAAGCACGUAUGACUACAUAUGGAAUACAUGCCUACAUUAGAUUGACGAAUGGGAGCUAGUUACAUAUAUCUCCGUGUUAUAGUUGUUACAUGAUGAAUUGCAUCCGGCAUAGUCAUCCAUCACCGAUCCAAUGCCUACGAGUCUCUUACUACUGGUCCUUGCUAUGUUACUUUGUCGCUACUACUGUCACUGCUGCUACUGUUACUCUGUUGCUAUUGUUCUUGCUUUGUUGCUACUGCUGUCACCUUGCUGCUACUGGUUACUGUUGCUACUGCUGCUAUGAUACUACUUUGCUACUGAUACUUUGCAGCAGACACUAAAUCUUUCAGGUGUGGUUGAAUUGACAACUCAACUGCUAAUACUUGAGAAUAUUCUUUCGCUUCCGCUUGAGUCGAAUCAAUAAAUUUGGGUUGAAUACUCUACCCUCGAAAACUGUUGCAAUCCUCUAUACUUGUGGGUUAUCAAGACCUUUUUCUGGCGCCAUUGCCAGGGAAGCACAACUAUAUUCUCUGAGUCACUUGGGAUUGACGUCUGCUGGUCACUAUGAGGAAUCCGAAAGAUCCAAGAAUAGAAAUCUUGCCCUCAACUACGAGGACAGGUAAGGAACUGCCAUCUAGCUCUGCACUUGAUUCACCUUCAGUUAUGAGUAAGUUUGCGACAUCGCCUCCUCCUAGAAAUCUUGAUAUGUUGCAUGUGCUUGAUGAUGCUACUUCUGCUGCCCAUGAUGCUUAUGAUGCUAUGCUUGAUACUGCUUUGCCUGAUGAUGCCAUGCUUGAUACUGCUUUGCCACUAGGUGCAUUCCUUGAUGCACAAACUGCUAGAUGUGAUGAUACUUCUGAAACUGCUGAUACUAUUGAAGUAGAACCUGCUAUUUUCCCUGUUAGAACUAGCUCUCCUAGACAUAAAUUGCUUGAUAAGCCUGAGCAUUAUGUUAUGGAGGGAGAGAUAGCUGAGGACUUUCUUGCGUGUAAGGAUAGCUAUGAUGUUGAGAAAUCACUGCUCAAGUGGAAAGAAAAAUCUCUAAACGCUAGGAUGAAAUACGACCCGAAGUUUGCUACUUCGCCUAUCUUUGUGACCGAUAAGGAUUAUGAAUUCUCUGUCGACCCUAAGUUAAUCACUCUGGUCAAAUCAGAUCCUUUUCACGGUUAUGAGUCUGAAACGGUUGUAGCCCAUCUUACCAAACUGCACGAUAUAGCCACCCUAUUCACUAGUGAGGAAAAGAUCCGCCACUAUCUAUAUCCUCAAGUUGUUUCCUUUCUCGCUAAAGGAUGAUGCUAAGACUUGGUUCACUUCUCCUAGUUGUGUGCGUAGCCCCCAGAAUAUGGUCUACUACUUCUCUGAAAAAUAUUUCCCUGCCCAUAAGAAGAAAGCUGCCUUGCAGGAAAUAUAUAACUUUGCUCAAGCUGAAGAAGAGAGUCUCCCACAAGCUUGGGGGAGGCUCGUCCAGCUACUGAAUGCUUUGCCUAAUCACCCUCUUGAGAAGAAUGAAAUACUUGAUAUCUUCUAUAAUGGACUUACCGAUGCUUCUAAAGACCACCUAGAUAGUUGUGUUGGUUUUGUUUUUAGGGAACGAACCGUAGAACAAGUUGAGAUCCUAUUGAAUAACAUAUUGUGCAAUGAGAAUGCUUGGACUAUUCCCGAACCACCUCCUAAGCCAACUCCGAAGAAAAGAGGUAUUCUAUUCCUCAGCCCUGAAGAUAUGCAAGAAGCUAAGAAAUCUAUGAAAGAGAAAGGCAUUAAAUCUGAAGAUGUCAAAAAUCUACCACCUAUCAAAGAGAUCCAUGGUCUUGAUAACCCUAUACAGGUAGUAGAAGUAAAUUCUCUGAGUAGGUUUGAUGAGAGUGAUAUUACUUUUGAUAAACCUGCUAACCUAUGCGUGGAUGAAUUUGAUAACUUUGUUGCCAAACAACAGAGUUUCAUUGAUUAUGUUAGCACACAAUUGGAAUAGAAUGCUCGUAUGCUUAGUCAUUUAAGUGCUUGUGUGGACAGAAACAUCAAUGAUCUUAAGCUCCUGAGUAAACAUGCCUCUAUGGUUACUACUCAGGUAGAACAAGUACUUAAAGCUCAGAAUGACUUGCUCAAUGAGUUGAAUGACUUGCUCAAUGAGUUGAAUGACAAUUCUGUCAGAGUUGUUACUAGAGGCGGUAGAAUGACCCAGGAACCUUUGUAUCCUGAGGGUCAUGCUAAGAGAAUUGAACAAGAUUCUCAAGGAGUUAGCACUGAUGCACCUAGUCAUCCUAGAAAGAAGAAGAAAGAUGAUAGGAACUUGCACGCUAGCAGCCCUGUUGCUGCUACACCUGAGAGUCCAAACGAUGCCUCUGUUUCCGAUGCUGAAACACAAUCUGGUGAUGAACAUGAGCCUAAUGAUAAUAUCAAUAGUGAUGUUCAUGAAGAUGCUCAACCUAGCAAUGAAAAGGAUGUGGAGAUUGAACCUGUUGAUCUUGAUAACCCACAACCUAAGAAUAGAAGAUAUGAUAAGAACGACUUCGCUGGUAGGAAGCAUGGUAAAGAAAGGGAACCAUGGGUUCAGAAACCCAUGCCCUUUCCUCCCAAACCAUCCAAGAAAAAGGAUGAUGAGGAUUUUGAGCGAUUUGUUGAAAUGAUUAGACUUGUCUUUCUACAAAUGCGUUUGACAGAUAUGCUCAAAAUGUCUAUGUAUGCUAAGUACAUGAAAGAUAUUGUGACUAAUAAGAGGAGGAUACCUGAGGUUGAGAUUUCCACCAUGCUUCUAACUAUGCCUUCAAGGGUGGAACUCCUAAGAAACUAGGUGAUCCCGGUGUGCCCACUAUACCUUGCUCCAUUAAAGGUAACUACGUUAGAACUACUUUAUGCGACCUUGGAGCCGGUGUUAGUGUUAUGCCUCUCUCUCUCUUUAUCGUAGACUUGAACUGGAUAAUCUGACACCCACUGAAAUCUCUCUGCAAAUGGACGACAAAUCAACUGCUUUCCCUAUCGGCAUUUGCGAGAAUGUGCCUCUUGUGGUUGCUAAUGUCACUAUCUUAACAGACUUUGUUAUCUUGGAUAUUCCCGAGGACGAUGCCAUGGCGGUCAUCCUCGGAAGACCCUUUCUUAACACUAAAGGGGUUGUUAUAGAUUGCAACAAAGGCAAUUUCACUUUCCAUGUUAACGGUAAUGAGCAUACGGUGCACUUUCCGAAGAAACAAUAUCGAGUACAUUGCAUCAAUGCUAUCGAAAAAACUUCAUCGAUUCUGAUAGGGAGCUUUGAAUGCCCUAUACCUCGUGUCAAGAUGAAGUAUGAUUUGCUUGUCGGGGAGAUACACAUACCCAUUGAGGUGACUUGGUGACUAUUCGAAAAUUCUCCGUUCUCUUUUGCAUUCGAAAAAGUUUGUCAAGGAGACUUGAUCAACCUCAUCGACGGAUUUCUUUCGAUGACCAUGAGAUGGACGAAUCGAGGAGUCACAAACCUCUGUUCCAAGCUUUCACCUUCGGUUGCUUAGAAGAAAAAUGAUAGGUUUAGUUUAGUUUUCCCUGUUUUCUGUUUUAGCGUCCGGUAGAAAAGUACCCCGAAAAUAAAAGUUCUCCGAACGUCCUGAAAAUCAAGUAUGACUUUUUCUAGAUUUUUUGAAAAAUACUAAGACAAAGAGCUUGUCUGGGGGCUGCACCAGUGGGCCACAAGCCCUUGAGGCGCGGGCACCCCCCUGGCCGUGCCGACCUGGCUUGUGGGGCCCACGUGCACCCCCUCCACUCAUUCUUGCUCUUAUCUGCUUCUCCUACCUCCAGAAAAAAUCGUUUCGCAGCUCAAACCCAUGUUCUUGCUCCUCUUGUUGGGAUUUUCGAUCUCUUUGCUCCAAGCACCAUUCUCCGAACUAUUUUGGGGAAAUUACUCCUUGGUAAGUGACCCCUCCAUUGGUCCAAUUAGUUUUUGCUCUAGUGCCUUAUACUUCGCGUAUUUUUGCUGCCUUGGUGACCAUGUUCUUGAGCUUUGCAUGCUAACUCUAGCUGGUCCCAAGUGGUUUUGAUGCGUAAUAUGGCCUCUAGGCACUUGUGGGAGUAGUUGCUAAGAGUUUCGUUGAGCCUUAUUCACUUUUCCUUAGAAUCACUAAAAAUUUCAGAAAUUUUCAAAGAUAGAAAAGGGAAAAGAUUAGGAGGUUCUUUAGAGGCUCUUCAAGCCGUGACCCCAAGGAUAAUGGAAGUGAGAAGAAGCCCAAGUAUCUGGUCCCUCGAGUCGCAGAAGUUCAAGCGUGCGAGUGGCCAAGCGACGUGUUCUUACGCGCCUCUAGACUUUAUGAGGACUUUUAUCACUUGGUGGAAAACGCAGGCCUUACUGCCUUAGUUGAAGAUAAGUGUCCGCAAUACCUCCUCCUCACUAAUAUCUUUGUACGAAGCUUUAACUUCUAUCCGAGGAAGAAUCCUCCUAUGGUUGAGUUCAAACUUUAUGAUAUCCCCGAGCGCAUGUCACUCCAGGAUUUUUGCAAUGUUUGCAAAUUACCUUACGUUGGGGAUAUUCAUGAACCUCGUCCACGGGACUUGGAAGCUUUCAUCGAUACAAUUGCUGUAGGAGAGGAGAAAGGAGUGUCUUGCGCUAGAGCUGCUAGCAUUCAUUUUCCCGAGGUUCGGUACUUCUCAUUAUUCGUUGGAAAAUGUUUGAUUGGUCGUGGGAAAGUUGGUUCACUUAGUUCCCCAGAUCUUGCGGUCUUGCGCGAAGCCCUUUAUAAUGAUAAAACUUAUAGCUUGGGCGCUAUAGUAGCUCAACGGUUGAACACGAACCAUUCUAAAGGCAUUGUCUAUGGAGGUAUCUAUGCUACUCGUCUUGCUAGACACUUUGAGAUACCUAUUAGACUAGAGGAGGAAGAAGAGAUUCUUCUUCCCGAGAGAUAUCUGGAUUACAAUAGCAUGGUUCGUCAUGACUUUCUUGAUAGAGAUAUAAAUAGAAGGAUGAUUUAUAACCUGGUAUUUAGUCAGGGUACUCGUGAGACUAUUACUUAUCCUGCUCCUUGUUUAUUCAAUCUUCAUGCAGGCAUGUACAUUAUUAUGCCCUCAGACAUCUACGCAUAUUGGGGCUUAGCCCAACCAAAGGUGCUCGUGCCCGAGCCACCAGUCGAGUACCAGACGCCAGUUUAUCAGUGGGAGCGAGAGGAGCUCACACAGCAGUGGCAUCCUCAGUCCACUCCGGAGUACCCCGGAUCUGGUUAUUUCCCUCCUUGGGAGUAGACCAACUUAGGCCAAAAGUCUAAGCUUGGGGGAGUACGUGUUUCUCACCGACUUUACAUUCUUGCUUAUGCUUUCACUUUGUUCGUCGGUGUUCACACUUUGCCACUGUAUCAUCCAUGCUAGUUUAUUUUCCUUUUUCUUGUUUUCUUUUUGUGUGUCUGUCUAGUUUGAGAAAACCCAAAAAGAUUUUCUUUUUCUUCUUUUGCUUGUUGGGAGCUUUCCCGUGUAAAUAGUUUUCUUUUUCUUUGGGUCAAGGUAGAAGAUCAUGGUUACAAUGUUUAGCAGCUCUCGCAUGCAUAUCUGUUUAUCUGUUAAAAGAGCCAUAUUACUUUGUCUUCUCCUUUGUGUUUGCCUUCAGGUUCCAGCUUUAGUCCAAUGCAUGAGCACGCUUAUUAUUGUUCACAUCGUUCGGUCGUGCAAGUGAAAGGCAAUAAUGACGAUAUAUGAUGAAGUGACUGAGCCUGGAAAACCUGGUAUGAACUCGAUCUAUUUUGUUUUUGUAAAUAUGACUAGCUCAUCGUGCUUGAUUCAGCUUUGUUGUGAGAGAAACAUGUUUGUAAUGACAACUUAGAGAUCAUAGUUGCUUAUGCCAUGCUUACUUAGCUAGGAGCUUAUAAUGGGCUGUCUUGGAUACCCACAUGAAUAUUGAGAUGACUAUGAUGUGGUAUGAUAGGAUGGUAUCCUCCUUUGAAUGAUUCAAGUGGCUUGACUUGGUGCAUGUUCAUGCAUGUAGUUGAAACAAAAUCAUAAUAGCCUCUAUGAUGUUCAUGUUCAUGGUGAUUUAUGUUCUACUCAUGCUUGCACUCAGUGUUAGUUAAUCUCAAUGCAUUUUGAUGACUGUUGUCGCUCUCUAGUUUGUCGCUUCCCAGUCUUUUGCUAGCCUUCACUUGUACUAAGCGGGAAUACUGCUUGUGCAUCCAUCUCCAUAAACCCAAAGUUGUUCCAUAUGAGUCCACCAUACCAACCUAUAUGCGGUAUCUACCUGCCGUUCCAAGUAAAUUUGCAUGUGCCACUCUCUAAACCUUCAAGAAAUAAUCUGUUUUGCAUGCCCGAACCGCUCAUGUGGUGACAGGGAGCUAUCAGUAUCUUCCAUGCUAGGCGUGUUAUCCUUGAUAUGUGUUUAUUCACUAUCAUUCACGAGAAAGGGGUCGGUAAUUGGAAUUCCCAGUUCCAUGUUCAAAUCGAAAAGAUAAUUGCAAACAAAACUCCCCCUGGAUUGAUGUUGGUAUGGACGGCACCCGAGUAUUCGGCUAGUCGUGGAGUGUGAUUGAUUGGUGAUGGGGGAGUCAAAACUUUACUUUUCUGUUUGGGAACCACCUAUAGCAUGUGUAGCAUGGAAGAUGGUGAGAACUCUUAGUCAUUGUGUUGACGAUGAAAGCAUGCCACCCAAAAUUAUUAUCUCUGUUUUCAAAGCUUGAGCUCUGGCACCUGUGCAAAUCAAUGCUUCCCUCUGCGAAGGGCAUGUCUAUUUAUGUUCAUGUUGAGUCAUCCUCCUCUUAUAAAAGCACCAAUUAGAGAGCACCUCUGUCAUUUUUAUGCUUUGCUUUUAAUUGUGUUGAGUAUGACUGUGACUGGAUCUUCUUUGCCAUGAAUUACAAUGUUUAGUCAGCCCUUGGUCUUUGAAGAUGCUCUGCAUUUAUGUUUUGCGGUCUCAGAAAGAGCUAGCGGGAUACCAUAUGUUCAUACUGCUUCAUGAUUGUUUUGAUUGAAGUGUUGAAGUUUGAGACUUAUUAUUAUUUGCUUGAUAGUUGAUUAUGCCAUUGAUAUGAGUUUACCGUGAGAUCUAGAUGUCAUUUGCUUAUGUGGUUAGCUUGUGAUCUUGCUGAAAUUCUGGUUAUGAGUUAGACAUAGUUGGAACAAUAAGAUCAAACAGAGUUCAUCAAAGUUUUUCUUUUGUCUCUUUCAAUUUGUCAACUAAAUUGCUUGAGGACAAGAAAGGCUUUAAGCUUGGGGGAGUUGAUACGUCUCCGUCGUAUCUACUUUUUCGAACUCUUUUGCCCUUGUUUUGGACUCUAAUUUGCAUGAUUUGAAUGGAACUAACCCAGACUAACGUUGUUUUUAGCAGAAUUGACAUGGUGUUGUUUUUGCGCACAAAUAAAAGUUCUCGGAAUGACCUGAAAUUUUACGGAGAAUUUUUCUGGAAUUAAUGAAAAAUACUGGCGCAAGAAUCAGCGGGAGAGGUGGAGCCGUGAGCCCACAAGCCCNNNNNNNNNNNNNNNNNNNNNNNNNNNNNNNNNNNNNNNNNNNNNNNNNNNNNNNNNNNNNNNNNNNNNNNNNNNNNNNNNNNNNNNNNNNNNNACCAGGCGCGCCCCCCCCCCCCCGCCCCCCCCCCCCCCNNNNNNNNNNCCCCCCAGGCCCCCCCCCCCCCCCCCUGGCCGCGCCUGGCAGGCUUGUGGGGCCCACAAAGCUCCACCGCCUCUCAAUCCAACUCUAUAUAGUCUGUUUCGUCCGGAAAAAAAUCAAAGAGAAGGAUUCAUUGCGUUUUACGAUACGGAGGCGCCGCCACCUCUUGUUCUUCAUCUGGAGGGCAGAUCUGGAGUCCGUUCUGGGCUCCGGAGAGGGGAGAUCGUCGCCAUCGUCAUCCGCAACCUUCCUCCAUCGNNNNNNNNNNNNNNNNNNNNNNNNNNNNNNNNNNNNNNNNNNNNNNNNNNNNNNNNNNNNNNNNNNNNNNNNNNNNNNNNNNNNNNNNNNNNNNNNNNNNNNNNNNNNNNNNNNNNNNNNNNNNNNNNNNCAACCUUCCUCCAUCGCCAAUUCCAUGAUGCUCUUCACCGUUCGAGAGUAAUCUCAUCGUAGGCUUGCUGGACGGUGAUGGAUUGGAUGAGAUGUAUCAUGUAAUCGAGUUAGUUUUGACGGGGAUUGAUCCCUAGUAUCCACUAUGUUCUAAGAUUGAUGUUGCUACUACUUUGCCAUGCUUAAUGCUUGUCACUAGGGCCCGAGUGCCAUGAUUUCAGAUCUGAACCUAUUAUGUUGUCGCCAAUAUAUGUGUGUUUUAGAUCCUAUCUUGCAAGUUGUAGUCACCUACUAUGUGUUAUGACCCGGCAACCCCGGAGUGACAAUAGCCGGAAUCACUCCCGAAGAUGACCAUAGUAUGAGGAGUUCAUGUAUUCACCAAGUGUUAAUGCGUUGGUCCGGUUCUUUAUUAAAAGGAGAACCUCAAUAUCCUGUAGUUUCCAUUAGGACCCCUCUGCCAUGGGAGGGAUGGACAAUAGAUGUCAUGCAAGUUCUUUUCCCUAAGCACAUAUGACUACAUACAGAAAACAUGCAUACAUUAGAUUGACGAACGGGAGCUAGUUACAUAUCUCUCCGUGUUAGAGCUGUUACAUGAUGAAUUGCAUCCGGCAUAAUCAUCCAUCACCGAUCCAAUGCCUACGAGUCUCUUACUACUGGUCCUUGCUACGUUACUUUGCCACUACUGUUGUCACUGCUGCUACUGUUACUCUGUUGCUACUGUUGUUGCUUUGCUGCUACUUCUAUCACCUUGCUGCUACUGGUUACUGUUGUUACUGCUGCUAUCAUUCUACUUUGCUACUGAUACUUUGCUGCAGACACUAAAUCUUUCAGGUGUGGUUGAAUUGACAACUCAACUGCUAAUACUUGAGAAUAUUCUUUCGCUUCCCCUUGAGUCGAAUCAAUUAAUUUGGGUUGAAUACUCUACCCUCGAAAACUGUUGCGAUCCCCUAUACUUGUGGGUUAUCAAUCUUAUACAACUACAAUUGUUACUUAACUGGAAUUAGUUGCCUCGGGAUUGCUUCCUCGCAGGGAGUCAAGGGAGGAUCUUUGGGCGUGACCUCACUUUAAUAUUGCUGCAACAAUAUGACUAUUAAUGGUGUUACCUGUUCUACUCUCAUCUAUUGCUGCAAGACCCUGAAGAUGCUAGUCUUCGAUAGGACUAGGCCUUCUCUCUCUAUUCUCGCAUUGCUACAGCCAGUCCACAUAUAAACCCCCCUUCUUUGAUACUGAUGCAUACUUAGAAUAGUUGUGAUGUAAGACUUGCGAGUACUUUGGAUGAGUACUCACCGUUGCUUUGCUCCCCUUUUGUCCCCUUGAUCCGUUGCUGCGACCAGAUGAUGGAGCCCGGGAGAUGGAGUUUCCUGCCGAUGCCUGCCACCCCAAUGGUGAUUUCUACGUGGAGGCCGUUGAAGACCAAGAGUAGUUAGGAGGUUCCCACGCAGGAGGCCUCGCCUCGUUCGAUCGUUGUAUCUUUUGUGCUAGCCUUCUCUAAGGCACCCCCAUGUUUUAUGUCUGUACUCAGAUAUUGUUGCGUCCGUUGACUCAUGUGUUUAUCGAGCUUCUGUAUUCUAGCCCUCGAGGCCCCUAGCUUAUAAUAUAAAGCUUGUAUUAUUUUAUUUGUGUCUAGAGUUGUGUUGUGAUAUCUUCCCGUGAGUCCUUGGGUUUGAUCGUACGCAUUUGCGUGUAUGAUUAGCGUACGAUUAAACCGAUGGCGUCGCAAUUAGAGACAACUGCAUUCACUUUAAAUAGGGCACCAUAAAAAUAUGUUGAGACGACACCAUACGAACUGUGCUAUGGCAAAAGACCAAAGUUGUCGUUUCUUAAAGUUUGGGGAUGUGAUGCUUAUGUCAAAAAGCUUUAGCCUGAAAAGCUGGAACCCAAAGCGGAAAAGUGUGCCUUCAUAGGUUACCCAAAAGAGACAGUUGGGUAUACCUUCUAUCUCAAAUCUGAGGGCAAAGUGUUUGUUGCUAGAAACGGAGCUUUUCUUGAGAAGGAGUUUCUCUCGAAAGAAUUGAGUGGGAGGAAGAUAGAACUUGAUGAGGUUGUCGAACCUCUAAUCCCUCUAGAUGGUGGCGCAGGGGAAGGGGAAACCCUUGUCGUUGCGACGCCGGUUGAGGAGGAAGUUGAUGAUGAUGAUCAUGAAAGUUCGGAUCAAGUUCCUAUCGGACCUCGCAGGUCGACAAGAUCACGUACUGCUCCUGAGUGGUACGGUAAUCCUGUCUUAUCAAUUAUGUUGUUAGACAACAAUGAACCUGUGAAUUAUGAAGAAGCAAUGGUGGGCCCGGAUUCCAAGAAAUGGCUGGAGGCCAUGAAGUUCGAGAUAGGAUCCAUGUACGAGAACAAAGUGUGGACUUUGGAAGUACUACCUGAAGGCCGCAAGGCCAUUUAGAACAAAUGGAUCUUUAAGAAGAAGACGGACGCAGACGGUAAUGUGACCGUUUAUAAAGCUCGACUUGUGGCAAAGGGAUUUUCACAAGUUCAAGGAGUUGACUACGAUGAGACAUUCUCACGAGUAGCGAUGCUUAAGUCCGUCUGAAUCAUGUUAGCAAUAGCUGCCUUUUACGAUUAUGAAAUCUGGCAGAUGGAUGUCGAAACGGCGUUCCUUAACGGUUUUCUUAAGGAAGAGUUGUAUAUGAUGCAACCCGAAGGUUUUGUCGAUCGAAAGAAUGCUAACAAAGUAUGCAAGCUCCAGCGAUCCAUUUAUGGACUGGUGCAAGCAUCUCGGAGUUGGAAUAAGCGCUUUGAUGAGGUGAUGAAAGCAUUUGGAUUUAUACAAGUGGUUGGAGAAUCUUGACUUUACAAGAAAGUGAGUGGGAGCUCUGUGGCGUUUCUAAUCUUAUAUGUGGAAAAAAUAUUGCUGAUUGGAAAUAACGUGAAGAUUUUGGAGAGCAUAAAGGAUUACUUGAAUAAAAGUUUCUCUAUGAAGGACCUAGGAGAAGUUGCUUACAUUCUAGGCAUUAAGAUCUAUAGGGAUAGAUCGAGACGCCUGAUAGGACUUUCACAAAGUACAUACCUUGAUAAAGUUUUGAAGAAGUUCAAAAUGGAUCAGUCCAAGAAAGGGUUCUUGCCAGUAUUACAAGGUAUAAAAUUGAGUAAGACUCAGUGCCCAGCAACUGCGGAAGAUAGAGAACAAAUGAGUUCCGUCCCCUACGCUUCAGCCGUAGGUUCUAUCAUGUAUGCAAUGCUAUGCACUAGACCAAACAUCAGCUUGGACAUAAGUAUGGCAGGCAGGUUUCAGAGUAAUCCAGGAGUGGAUCACUCGACGGCAGUCAAGAAUAUUCUGAAGUACCUGAAAAGGACUAAGGAAAUGUUUCUCGUUUAUGGAGGUGACAAAGAGCUUGCCGUAAAAGGUUACGUCGACGCAAGUUUUGACACCGAUCCGGAUGGAUCUAAGUCACAAACCGGAUACGUAUUUAUUCUUAAUGGGGGUGCAGUAAGCUGGUGCAAUUCCAAGCAGAGCGUCGUAGAAGAUUCUACAUGUGAAGCGGAGUACAAGGCUGCCUCGGAGGCAACAAAGGAGGGUGUCUGGAUGAAGCAGUUCAUGACAGAUCUUGGAGUUAUGCCGAGCGCACUAAAUCCAUUAACUCUGUUAUGUGACAACACUAGUGCCAUUACCUUAGCAAAGGAACCAAGGUUUCACAAGAAGACCAGACACAUCAAACGACACUUCAACCUCAUCCGCGACUACGUCGAAGGAGAGGACGUGAAUACUUGAAAAGUGCACACGGAUCUGAAUGUAGCAGACCCGCUGACUAAACCUCUUCCACGGGAAAAACAUGAUCAACACCAGAACUGUAUGGGUGUUUGAUUUAUUACAAUGUAAAUCGCAUGGCGAUGUGAGGACUAGAUUAUUGACUCUAAUGCAAGGGGGAGACUGUUGGAAAUAUGCCCUAGAGGCAAUGAUAAAUAGUUAUUAUUAUAUUUCCUGUUUAAAGAUAAUCGUUUAUUAUCCAUGUUGUAAUUGUAUUGAAUGAAAACAUAGAUACAUGUGUGGAUGCAUAGACAAAACAAUGUCCCUAGCAAGCCUCUAGUUGGCUAGCCAGUUGAUCAAGGGUAGUCAAGGUUUUCUGGCUAUGUGCAAGUGUUGUCACUUGAUAACUGGAUCACAUCAUUAGGAGAAUCAUGUGAUGGACUAGACCCAAACUAUGAACGUAGCAUAUUAUCAUGUCAUUUUACUGCUAUUGUUUUCUGCGUGUCAAGUAUUUGUUCCUAUGACCAUGAGAUCAUAUAACUCACUGGCACCGGAGGAAUACCUUGUGUGCAUCAAACGUCACAACGUAACUGGGUGACUAUAAAGGUGCUCUACAUGUAUCUCUGAAGGUGUCAGUUGAGUUAGUAUGGAUCAAGACUGGGAUUUGUCACUCCGUGUGACAAAGAGGUAUCUCGGGGCCCACUCGGUAAUACAACAUCACACACAAGCCUUGCAAGCAAUGUGACUAAGUGUAAAUCACGGGAUCUUGUAUUACGAAACAAGUAAAGAGACUUGCCGGUAACGAGAUUGAAAUAGGUAUGCGGAUACCGACAAUCGAAUGUCGGGCAAGUAACAUACCGAAGGACAAAGGGAAUGACAUACGGGAUUAUAUGAAUCCUUGACACUGAGGUUCAACCGAUAAGAUCUUCGGAGAAUAUGUAGGAUCCAAUAUGGGUAUACAGGUCCCGCUACUGGAUAUUGACCGAGGGGUACCUCGGGGCAUGUCUACAUAGUUCUCGAACCCGCAGGGUCUGCACACUUAAGGUUCGAUGAUGUUUUAGUAUAGUUGAGUUAUAUGUGUGGUUACAGAAUGUUGUUCAGAGUCCCGGAUGAGAUCAUGGACGUCACGGGGGUUUCCAAAAUGGUCCGGAAACAAAGAUUGAUAUAUAGGAUGGUUUCAUUUGGUUACCGGAAAGUUUCGGGCAAUUCCGGCAGUGUACGGGGAGUGACGAAUGGGUUUCGGGAGUUCACCGGGAGGGGCCCACCCACCCGGGAAUGAGCCCAAGGUCAUAGGGUGGCACCACAAGUCCCUAGUGGGCUGGUGGAGUCAGCCCAAGGGGCCCAUGGCGCCACUUAAAGAAAUACCAAAAAGAAAAUAAAACGAAAAGGAAAAAAGGGGAGGUGGGAAGGAAGGGGAGGACUCCUCCUUCCCCAAACCGAAUUGGAGGAGGAGUCCUCCUCCUCCUUGGCCGAGCACCAAGGCAAGCCUCAUUCCCCUCCCUCCUAUAUUUAGUGGUGUUUUAGGGCUGCUUUGAGACAACUUUUGCCACGUGCAACUCAACCCUAGACCACAUAGUUCCACCUCUAGAUCGGAUUUCUACGGAGCUCGGACGGAGCGCUGCAGGAGUAGAUCAUCACCACCACCGGAGUGCCGUCACGCUGCCGUAGAACUCAUCUACUUCUCCUUCUUGCUUGCUGGAUCUAGAAGGCCGAGAUCAUCGUUGAGCUGUACGUGUGCUGAACGCGGAGGUGUCGUCCGUUCGGCACUAGAUCGGAACGGAUCGUGGGAAGGAUCGUGGGACGGUUCGUGGGGCGGUUCGUGGGGCGGAUCGAGGGAUGUGAAGACGUUCCACUACAUCAACCGCGUUUCUUAACGCUUCCUGUUGUGCGAUCUACAAGGGUACAUAGAUCCAAAUCUCCUCUCGUAGAUGGACAUCACCAUGAUAGGUCUUCGUGUGCGUAGGAAAAUUUUUGUUUCCCAUGCAACGUUCCCCAACACUUUCCAUAUCCAUUUUUCUAAGAGAGAGCCACAUACUCAUGUGUUGAGGUUAAGCUAUUCCAAUCCAUCCAUUUGAAACUUGAUAUCUAGCCUCCCCAAGUUGCUUUCCACACAAUGAAUCUCUUCUACACAUGCCAAAUCUGUGAGAGAGUGAUUGAGUGUUGAGAAGACUAUCUUUUGAAGCACAAGAGCAAGGAUUUUAUCGUACUACCGCAUCUAUUACCAUUUCGAGGGUGGUGCCUCCUAGAUUGGUUAGGUGUUUCUUGCGAGCCUCCUGCUUCGUAUUGUGGAGUUGAACCAAGAAGUUUGUAAGGGCAAGGAGAUCACCUACUUCGUGAAGAUCUACCCCAAGUAAGGCUAGUCCUUCGUGGACGUAAGCCAUGAUGGAAUAGACAAGGUUGCUUCUUCGUGGACCCUUCGUGGGUCAAGCCCUCUCUGGACUCGCGCGGCCGUUACCCUCCGUGUGUUGAAGUCUCCAUCAACGUGGACGUACGAUAGCACCACCUAUCGGAACCACGCCAAAAAUCACCUGUCAACCUUUGGGUUUGAUCUUCCUAUCCCUACCAUCUACUUACAUAUGCAGGUCAUUACUUUCCGCUUCUAUACUCUUAGACUUGCAUGUGUAGGGUAUGCUUCAAUUACCACAAUUGUUAAAACUUGCCCACAACUAAAAUUGAUAAAAUGCUAAGUUUUUAUUUCGUCAAGUAGUCUAAUCACCCCCCCCCCCUCUAGACAUACUCCAGAUCCUACAUCGUCGAACCAUGCCACCGCAACAUUAUUGAAGGCGUCGGAUUGUCAUCAUAUCAUCGUCGCGGUUGUCGAAGCACCCGUCGUGGCCGUCGCAACAACAUGGAAUAAGAUGGGUUGUGGUCGUACCAUCGCUGAAAGAGUCAUGCCAUCAUCCCAGAACUACCAUAGCCAGGAAGCACACCGUCACAAUACUCAGCCCUUCCUUUGAGCAUCGCCAUGACCAUCGAAGCACGAUGUCGUAGCAUCGAGGCAACCGUUUGAAGCAUUCCGCCGCCGCGGUUCGUCGCGCAUCAUUGCGGUCAUCAAAACAUGACGUCCCAACAUCAUCGAAUGGUCUGGGUUGCCAUUGUAGCAUCAUUACGGUUGUCGAAGCAUCUGCCAUGGGACGAGUUGUCAUCAUAGAAUCACCAAAACAACUGUGCCAUCAUCCCAAAAUUGCCAUGACCGGAAAGCAAGCCGUCACAAUAGUCGGACCUUCCUCGAAGCAUCGCCUCAAUCAUCGAAACAUGUCGUCAUGGCAUAGACAUGACCGUUUGAAGCAUGUCGCUGCCACGGUUAGCCACACAUCAUCACGGCCUCCCAAGAACGAUGCCACAACAUCAGUGAAGGGGCCAGGUUUCCAUUGUAGGAUCAUUACAGUUGUCGAAGCAACCAUUGCGGCCGUCACAACAUUAUUGAAGUAGACAAGUCGUCAUCGUGGCUCCAUCACAACCGUCAAAGCAUAUUGCCACCAUCAAAGCACGUCGCCGCGCCAUUGCAGCCACCGUCGAAGCCUGUUGUCGUAAACAUCUAUGAAAUGGUGUCUCGUAGCAUCGCUGCCAUCCAAAGAGUCAGGCUACCGGCAUAGAGGUUGUCGAGCCUCACAGCACUGCUUGUGCCCUCACGCUACACCGAAACAGCUAGACCACCCCCCACAACCUCGCCGUCUUGGAUUGCAGCGCGUCCGACCUCGUAUGCAGCAACCAAUCUCGUCGCUGGUCAAUUGAAGCAGCUCGUUUCGCUACAUGAUCAUGGAUGUUUUGCAUUUUUUAGGAAAUGGUUGACUUGCUACUUGACUCACACUAGAAAAGCAUAGAUCGCUUUGCUACUUACCUAAACUAGAAGCGCCUCUCUGCGUCACACGUUGAUACGCUAACCAAGUAGGCUGUGUGGAGUCGUUCGCUAUGUACGGCGUUAGUUAAACAGACUAGCCGCGGGUGGAUCAAACAGUUAAUGUGAUGGAUGGAUCGAACGAUGGAGUGGCUAGCUACCCGGUUGAUCCCAUGCGCGGAUCGACCGGAUGACGCUUAGCAUCCGCCUUUUUAUUUCUUCUCCGUAUUUCUUUUUUUGUUGACAUACUUUAGUUUUUCUCUUUCUUUUUUUCUCUUCGUUUCUUUCAUGGUUAGUAUUCAUUUUUCAUUUCUUUCUCAUUAUGUUCCUUUUUUCUUCGGUUUAUUGUUUUCUUUCUUAUUUUCAAUGUCAUUUGUGUUUAUUUAUUUAUUGGUCUUUACAUUUUAUUUUCUUUGUUUCUUGGUUUUAUUUUUCAUAGGUUUCUUUUUUAUUUCAUUUUUUAUUUUCCUUUUUUUCGUUUGGUUUUCAUGAUGUAUUUUUUGUAUGCAUUAAGAAAUAAUACAGUUUGGACAUUUUCUCAAUAUAAAUUUAGCAUUUUUAAUACAUGGUUACAUUUGUCUAUACACAUCUUCAACAUUUUUUAAAUGCUUGAUUAAUAUUUUAAAAUACAAAUUUAAUAUUUUUUGUAUACAUCGCCAAUAUUUUUCUAUACGCACUUUAAUUUUUUUAAAUACAAGGUCAAUUUUUAAUACAUAGUAAAAAAAUCUAUGAACUUUAACAAUUUCGAAUUGCUUUAUCAAUAUUUUUCAAAUGCAAGAUUAACAUUUUUUUAAUGCAUGGUCAACAUUUUUUCUAUAAACAUUAAUUUAACAUUUUUCAACCACUUGUUUAACGCAUUUGAAAUACAUGAUGAACUUUUUCACACCCAUUGUAUACUUUGUGUAUACAUUUUUCAUAUAAAUGAUUAACAUUUUUUUCUGUACACAUUCGACAUUUUCAAAUGCGCGACUAAUAUAUAUGUUUUGAAUUGUUGGAAGUGUAAGCAAAAGUAAAAAAUCAAAAAAGGAAACAAAAUGUAAAAAAAGAAGAGGUAGCAGCCUCAGACGAGCUGGACGACCCAUUUAGACUGUUACCUUCAGCGAGAGCUUCACUCUGCCAUUAGACUACCCACAAUGGGAGUAGCAUAGGUAGUAACAUGGAUGCCACCUAAGCAAGAAAUAUGAUGUGGCAACUAAUUAAUGAGAAGAGAGAGAAAUUGAGAACUUAGCAUGUUACUCAUACUAGGAGUAACAUAGCAGAUACCAAGACAAGAUGAGUUUAUAGGCUAAUAAAUAAAAGGCUCAAUGUUAUUACCCAUAUGUUACUAUCAAUUGUGGAGGUAGUAACUUAGACUAGUAACAUAUGUAUGUUACUCCCCAUUGUGAGUAGUCCUAGAAGAGUUGGAGAUGGGAAGUCAAUGAACAUAUAUCAACACAACUGGAUCCCAUGGGCUCGCACCAUGAGGCCCCUCACUUUGUUGUUACCCAAUCCACCACAGGUCGUGGCAGAUAUGAUUGAUUAUUUGUGUGCCUAAUGGAGAGAAGAUGUGAUCACAUAGACCUUUGUCCCGAUGGACUCUGAAGCUAUAUUGAGAAUUCCACAAGUGGAUGCUUUUUGGGCAUGGUCAGAGGACCCAAUUGAGAAGUGGAUGUUUCUAUAUGAGAACAACAUAUAAGAUGAUAUAUCGAAUCAAGAUGGGAAGGGAAGCAUGGCUAAAUAAAGUUGAACAUACAUCGAAUCUACAAGGGGGUGAAGAGCCGGUCAUCCGUGUAGAAGUUCCAGGUGUCGUCAAAAUUGAAGGUUUUUAUAUGGAGGCUCUCUCAACUUUCGCUACCCACUGGUGAUGUGCUCCAACACAGGAGUAUUGCAACAACUCGUCUAUGUGGAAUAUGUGGAGCACAAGAUAGCUGGCGUCACAGUUUACUUGAGUGCGCAAUGGCCUGGAGCACAUGGGCGUUAUCACAUGAGGAGAUGUGUGCAACACAUGUCUAUGAAUCAAGAUGAGAAUGCUAAGGAGUAGUUGUUUGCCAUGAUUGGGGCGAUAAUCAUGAUGUUUCUUAUGAUCUUGAUAAUUCUAAGCUUCAUGAUGAAUAUAUUAUUGAUUAUGAUAUUUGCAAUACUAAUAAAGGUGGGUUUGAGAGAGCAUCAACUUUAGGUAAUAAUGAUCCCACUACUUUGGAGAUUGAUGCAUCUUAUGAAAUUAUCGAUAAAAGUGGGUUUGAAGAGGUCAUGACUUUAGUUGAUGCUAAUCCCACUACCUUGGAAGAUUAUAAGACUUAUAUGCAUAUAGAUCAUAAAGAUGAUAUUUUACAUGAUAGUUAUAUUGUUGAGUUUGAUUAUGAUCCUACAUGCAAUUAUUAUUAGAGAGGCAAAUAUGGUUAUGGGAAUUUGCAUGUUACUCAAUUACCUCUCUUUAUAUUGAAAUUAUUAAUGUUUCACUCUUCCUAUUUUGCAUACGCUUGAUAUCACUUGUCUUGAUAAUUUGUUUUUUUAUAAGAUGCCUAUGCAUAGGAAGUAUGUUAGACUUAGAUGUGUUUUUUCACAUAAUUUAUGAUGCUCUGUUUGUGCUUCAAUUCUUGUCUAUUACGUGAGCACCAUCAUUAUCCCAAACCUAUCUUAAUGGCUAUAAAGAAAGAGCUUGUUGGGAGACAACCUAAUACUUUCUGUUAUUUUGAGUUGAGAUGAUUAUUGCUACUUUAAUGAUUGUGUUUUUAUGUUUAGUUUAGUGUUUGUGCCAAGUAAAGCCUUUGAGAUGAUUUGGAUGAUAAGUAGAAUUGAUACGGUGCAAAAAACAAAAACUUUUACGUCUAGUGCAGAAUUUAUAUGAUUUUACUGGACCGUCUUUUUAUCUGAAUUUUUUACACUGUAUUGGUAUACAAAUUCCCUAGUUUGUCUUAAUUUUUCAGAAUUUUCGGAGUUACAGAAGUAUGGUUUAAGUGUUGAUCACCACAAACUGUCCUGUUUUAGACAGAUUAUGUUGUUUACUUGCAUAGUUUGCUUGAUUUGAUGAUGUUAUGGGUUGUAUCAGGGGUAUAAGCCAUGUAGAAGUUAAAAUACAAUACCUUAUGCAAUAAUUAAAUAUGAACAUAGUACUAACGGAUCUUACGAGGUUUCUGUUAAGUUUUGUGUGCUGAAGUUUUUAAGUUUUGGGUGCGAUCACGAUGUAUUAAGGAAUAAAGAGUAGCAAGAUCUUAAGCUUGGGGAUGUCCAAGGCAUCCCAAGGCAAUAUCCAAGAAAGACUGGAGUGUCUAAGCUUGUGGAUACCCGGAAAGCACCCCCCCCCUCUUUCAUCUUCAUUCCAUCGGUAUGUCACUUGAAGCUAUAUUUAUUCAUCACAUAAUAUGUGUUUUGCUUGGAGUGUCGUGUGUUAGAGUUUGUUUUUGUUUUUGUUUUCACAAUCAUUGUUUGCUGGACACACCUAUUUGGAAGAGACACAUAUUCAUCAUGAUUUAUUAAAAUACUUUAUAUGCUUCAUUUAUAUCUUUUAAGCUAAAUAGUUGCUCUAGUGCUUCACGUAUAUCUCAUGAUUUAUUAAAAUACUUUAUAUGCUUCAUUUAUAUCUUUUAAGCUAAAUAGUUGCUCUAGUGCUUCACGUAUAUCUUUCUAAGUACGGUGACGUGUAGAUUUUAUAAAAAUAACUAUACUUUCGUUCUUUAUUUAUAUUUGUUUGAAUGUCUAAUAGGGCAACGGUAAUUUGCAUGGGUGAUCAGAUGAGGAGGGGGGAGGGGGUAGAAAAAGCUAGCAGAUGCUGCUGAACAAGUGAAGAUGGUGAGAGAUGCAAUGCACUAAUUUUCAUAGCACGAUAUAAAUAUUACAAGCAUGCACGCAGCACGCGUACAAAUUUACAUUUUACACCCACCCUCGCAUAUAUACCGCUCGCGCGCUCACGUUUCCCACGACGACAGACGGGUACCAUGCACAGGACGACGAUGCUCGGAUUUCGCCUAGUGGAACUUGAGGCUGGUGAGGAUGUUGUUGUUGACGGGGUCGGAGAGGUGGUCGAGGAGGUUCUGGAAGGGCCCGACGCCGGUGAAGAUGGCCUGCAGCGACAUGCCGAGGAAGGCGAGCAUGGCGAGACGGCCGUUCUUGAUCUCCUUGAGCUUGAGCUCCUUCAUCUCCUUCUCGCUCUUGGUGCCGAACCCGAGUGGGUUGAAGAUGGGCCCGCCGGGGUAGGCGGGGUCGCCGGAGCCGCCGAGGUACUUCUCGAGACCCAGGAAGUACUGCUUCCCCAUGGAACCCGGGUUGUACCAGUCCUGGAGCCGCCGGUGCUCUGCGAAGCCGAUCAGUGCCAUCUCGAACACGAAGAGCGUGUAGGGGUCGGCCCAGUACUGGUAGGUGCCUGCCGGCGGGAUGGCGCCCGCCUGGAACCACGGGAUCGCCGUCUCCGGGGGCACCAGACCCACCUUGCCCAGGGCCUCCGGGGCGAUCAUGCCCACCACCCCCAUCAUCGCCGUCCGGCCGUUGAAGAUCUCGCCGUAGGCCAGCCACCUGGGCUCGAUGAACCCGCCGGUGCCCUCCGGGUCGGACAGCCCCAAGGGGUCGAAGCCAAAGUCACCAGGCAGCCUGCAAGGCACAAAACCCAACACCUUCUAAGUCAGCUUCUCUUUGCCACACUGCCAACAUACAUACACCAGGUGUAAUAUGUUGCGCCGCGACUUACGUGCCGUCGAGGUAGGUGAGGGACUGCUUGGACGCGAACCACAGCUGCCUGUUGUCAUUUUGCUGAAAGAGAAGAACAAAAGAGAAAGUCAGUAGCCACUCCAGCCAGCUCUAAUCAGAUCAGAAGAAAACAUGCAGCAUGGCUAGAGUCUGAACGGACCUUGGCAGGGGGGCUGGACGAUGCCCUGACGACGAAGGGGGACUUCCGGGAGGAAGACGACCUGGAGAAGGAAGACUGCAGAGGCCUACCCAGCAGCUGCCUCCCAGAGAGAAGACCCUGGGCCGCCAUUGUUCCUGCAAGCUCCUCCUCCUGCUGCUCCGAGAGAUGAGGCAGACGCGGUGUGUGUGGUAGAGACUGAGAUGAAAGUGUGUGCUCCAAAACUCACCCACUGCUACAAAAGGAGAGAGGAACGUGCGCCUGACGGCCUGAGGCUGGGCGGGGGUGGGGCCAGGGAAAUCUUAUUCCGAUGUGAGGUGGAGCCUCAGCGGAUGAGGGCAUCUGUGGACCCAGUAGAAGCCCGCCAUGUGGAGGGUAUGCUGGGAUAAGGGGGCUGCCACCUGGCUUCUCAGCAGCUGAGGCUGCGUCCAUACCUGCAUUCCCUUGGCUCAGAUUUUCCACCACCUUGUGGACAGCACAGACAGUUGCAAUUCUUGUGCCUACCUAGAGUAUGCAUUCCGUGAGAUAUGAUGAGAUAUCAUGGUUGCCCCUAUGAGCCUAUCAUGUAUCACCAUCUGGAUAAGGGGAUCUUUGGGAUUAAAUCAUCAAAUUUCUUCAAUUAAUACAAAUAUAUACUUUGGCAGUUAAUAUUGUGUAUGGUGAUACGAGACCAAACUGAAUUUUCACAAGGUAAAAACAACUUGAUCUCCAAUUCUCCACAAAAACAAUACAAUCACCAAGCUGCCAGUCAGUUACAUUCUGAUGAAAAGAUAAAUAUGUUGGAUGAGGUUUGUACUUGUAUGGUGCCUACUCGGCAUUUUACGAGUUAUGAAAAUGCAAGGAAGGAUACUAAAUCUCGUCGUUAACUGAAUUCUGAAUAGAAAGAUUAAGAAGAAAAAAAGAUUCAAAAUACCCAAUAUCUUGCUAGAACAAGAUAUUGGGCAUUUUUGUCUUUUCUUUCUUCAAAAAUUCUUAUAUGUUAGCAGAAAAACCUUAUCCAUUAAUAGUGUACAGGUAACCCAUUUGAUCCAAACAAAAAGGAAGCACAGUGUAUCCUCCAAGACUAUAUAUUGUACUUAGUAGUUAAUAAACCUUAGCCAGCCCCAGAAGUACACAUUUUACAUAACAAAUGGGUGGCCUUCUAGUCUCCUCUCUCAUUUGCCUGGUAGACAAAACGUUAGAGUCAGUUAAGGUAAUCAUACAAUUCACUAAAAACGGACCAGCUUCUGAUACUUAUGCAUGGAACUGUUGUUUAAUCAGAUUUGAAGUCCACUAAUACAAGAAAUUCCCAUGAAAAACGUGACAGUGCAAUGCCUCCAAAAAUAUAGAUAUCAGAACUUGGUAUGCCUAAGGUUGGGUGUGUUUGCUUUAUGCUUAAGGUUGCCCUGCCAAAAAUUGACUCGCUAGUCACAAAAAUUGCUGAGAUUUUGCUUGCCCAUGUGUUCGCCAACACUGGCUAAAAACUGAACUAGAAUUGGCAAAGGAGCAUUGGCAUGCCAAAAAGUAGGUAAUAUCCCAAUCCAAAAAUAGAUAAAAGAAUUCUCAUGGGCAAACAAUGUAUAUGGUACUUUGGUCACAACAUCCAAAUCUUACACUUAGGGACAUGUAAUCAACCAUACAGACUGUGACAGGUUGAUGGAUUUUGUUGGAAAUUGGCUGGGCACAGGAGGAUGUCAAGAUCAUUUGGUCUGUCUGUAGUAUGUUGGGAGUUAUGGAGGAUGAGAAAUUAUAUGAUUUUCUAGAGGAAAAUUUUAACAUAUUUUAUAACUCUAUUGUAUAGGAUUAAGCCAUUGAUGUGGCAAUGGGAGGAAUUACUGAACAAUACUAAGACAAUGUUGGUGGUAGUGGUAAGCUUAAUACAAGUACUACCUGAAUCAUCCAAACAGACUUCCUUGAGGCAUGUUGCCUUUGAAUUGUUGAUUCGUGAGUUGAUAUGUUCUGGUAGUUUUCUUUUUCUUGUUAUCAUUGUUUCUGUCGAGGGGUUUCUUGAUACUAACUAUUUGGUUUGUUUUAGUCAUCGAACCUGAGUGCUGCCUAAUGUAUCUAUCUUCUAGUUUAUCGUGUUUAAGCUUGAUGGCUAAGCUGGUGUCCACAAUUUCUAAUUAGACUUUUGUGCGCUUGUGGAUUUCCAAACCCCGGGUAAUGGCACCACACAUUUGUAUGUAUAUUUAGGAGGUAAUAGCACCACAAGUCCUACAACUUGUUGGGAAUGUGAUGUUUUGGUCCAAAACUUGUAAAACCUCACCCCAACAUCCUACAACUUGCAGCCUAUGUGACAAUUUGGUCCAAAGCCAGUCAUAACGUGACAAGUGGCACCACGCUGGCUGAGCCGAUCUUCACUGCAGUUUUGCAAAUACCCCCUGACAUUUUAGCGAAUUACACCAAAUCCCUAGCCCUCUCUCUGUUCCCCGUCCCCCUGAGCCCCCUCUACCCGAUCUGCCCACCGUGUCGCCGCAGCCUCACAACGAGCAGCGGGUCCCUGUCCAGCAGCUCCUGCACGAAGCCCGCACCCCACACGGACGCCGCUGUGUAGAGCAUCCAGCCGCCGUAGCCGACCCGGAGCAGCGUGUUGCCGGCGCCGUGCUUGCACUCGCACUCCAGCAGCAGGUCCCGGGCGACGGAGGCGCGGCACGUGGACGAAGCGAGCGUCGUCGUCACACAGCCCCUCGAGGCUGUGGAUCCGGUGGAACGAGGUGAGCUUGAUGAGGAUAUUGGGGUCGAGGUGCAGGUGCCAGGUGCAGCAAUGUUGUAUGGUGGCCAGCAGGUGCCGCAGGGCCAUCUGCCGCAUGUGUGGAAAGAUCCUCGGGAACUGAAGAGAUUUGCUUGAUCGAACCAUUCUCCGAAUCUGCCCUGAAUGAACAAGUUGGGAAGAUGUUGCUUGAAAACUACGAGGAGUAUGCACGCCUUGCAAGGUCAACCUUUGACUAUAUAUUUUUUAACCCUAGUGUGAUGCUUGCAGAUCUUGUCGUACAAAGCAAUUUUGGCACAUGGUCAUGAAUCUCAUGGCUGCCAUUUCUGUCAGAUCAGAUCAAAGAUGGUACUGAAGUGUGAAGUAGAGCUUUAACCUAGGCAUUGAUGAUUUCCCCUGCUCCUUCAUGCAGGCUGUACACCGGCAUUCAUGCACAUAAGCAAAAGAAUAAGUCCAAGACCGGAGCCAUUUCCGAGUCAACAACGGCUCUAAACAUGGGUCAGGGCAAUAGCACUGUUCCGAGCAAGAACAUACCAUCAGCGCCAGCACAAGUAUCCACCUCCACCUCAACCAAAGUUCUCGGCAUACAGGAUCAGAACGCAGCUCCUUCUGAUCCUUCUGUAGGUUCAUCAGCGAAACACAAGAAGGAUGGGCCGCUUGCCGUCAAAAUCCCAGCUGAGAAGAAGAUGGAUGCCAGGAAGAAGAGCCUGAAGAGGCUGUAACAGCGCGCCCCGGAUAGCGUCGAAGCGGCGCUGUUGUACUAGUUAGAAGAUUCUGAGCAGGGCCAUUAUGCUGAGCAACAACAGUCUGAAGGUGGCUGACAACAUUGUGAGCUAUCAUUCACUACCCUCCUUUUAGCCAGAACAUCUAAACUAAUUUUCAGGUUUCGUUACAGACUAUAUGAUCGUUUGUUUCGUCUGUCGAUCUGGAAGAGAUUUGCUAGUUCAGUCAUGGAGAUUUUGUUUCUGCUGCGGAUUUGUGGUGUCGUUAAAAAAGGAUUUAUGAUUCGAGACCGAUUGGUUAAACUUUACCAUACAGAAGACUGAAUGUCCAAUGGUGUCAUGCGAAACUACAGUUGAUGAUCGGUCAUUCAGCUGAAACAUGGCAAGCAAGUAACUGAAUGACAGAAAAGCUUUGUGUUUCCAUGGAUGGACUGAACCAGUUCGUUGAAAUUCACCAUAGACCAUACCGUGUCCAUCAAACUAAUACUUGGCAUCUGGCCUUUUUGAUAUGCAAACGUCGAGUGGCAUACUACGUAUCUCUGGCAACAUCCUUUGCGGCAGUUGCCUUGUGUAUUACAUUGUACUGUGCCUUCAAAACACACAUUAGAGUCAUUCAUGUUUCUUAAAUAAUUUGGGUGCAGCACUUGCUCUUUUCUUUCCAAAAGGAGUUCAUAUUUUGUGCUUGUUUCAGAUUCCAGGUUUAGAUUUUUUCUGAAAAUAUUGCAGUACUAAUUGGCUUUUCUUGAGUUUCUAAUGCUUUUCUUUCCAUUACGCAAUACAACUGGCAUGUGUCCCAAAAGUUACUGUACCAGCACAAAGUUUUCAUAGCUCAGUUGGUUAGAGCACUUGUUUAGUAAGCGGGAUGUCUUAAGUUUUUGAAGGCUUUUUUUUUAAGGCGGGAUGUCUUAAGUUGAAGUCUGAAUGAAAGCAACUUAUUUUCUUUUAUUAUUAUAGAGUUUUAUUCUUCGGUCUAGUGUGGGUUAAUUUGCUAAAACAGUAGGGGGUAUUUGCAAAACUGCAGUGAAGACCGGCUCAGCCAGCAUGGCGCCACUUGUCACGUUAUGACUGGCUUUGGACCAAAUUGUCACAUAGGCUGCAAGUUGUAGGAUGGUGGAGUGAGGUUUUACAAGUUUUGGACCAAAACAUCAAUUCCCAGCAAGUUGUAGGACUCGUGGUGCUAUUAACUCUAUAUUUAGUUGACAAGGCUGGCAGAAAUAUAAAAAAGAAAGUAUGGAGCACUGAUAAGCUUACACCAGUUCUUAUUAUUUAACCAUUUUAUGGAACAUGUACAAAAUGCUAUACACUGAAUCUUGCCCACAUGCAUGUACUCUUAAAGUACAGAACAUAUUGUGUAACUUGCGGUAAAGGUAAAAACUGAGAGUUUUGCUGGAGUACGGUCGAAAUUGCCAAGCUGAAAUAUGGGAUUACCGUAAUUUUGAUAUUUGUGUGAGAAUCGAUGCAAAGCUUUCACAAUAGAACCAUAUUUCAUUGAUUUCAGCGAGCCCAUAUGCCUGCACACACAACAAAAAGAUCUUUUAGUAGUAAAAUAAAAUAAGUAACUUCAGUAAUAUACAAUAAGCAUAAACCAGUGAGCGCACAUAAUCAAUCCCUCACCUUCACGUGGAAUAAAUUUUGCAUGUGAUUUGAGCAAGUUCAUUGAACUUCCUUAGCAUGGAAACUACUGAGAAUUAUAUAAAUGGAAGAGAAACUUACAUAAUCUCUGUGUAACGUAAUCUCCAUGCAGGAAAUCCUAAAUGACAUCUAACAGGACCAUAAACAAGAAGAAGAUCAGGUUCUGGCCCUCCACAACCUGACAAAAAGAUUGGAACAGUAAGUGCUCUUCUAGGAUUGCGAUGUACAAAUUCCUAACUAAGAAAUGAAUAUGGUAAAUGCAAGAACUGGGAGGAGAUAAUUUUUCAAAACUUACCUACUGCUCUCAGUGCACAAACUAUGUCAGCUUCUGUAAAUGCAUUGUCAUCUUUUUUGUGCCCAUGAGAGUUGCAAUUGCCGAAGUCUGAGCACAGUAAGUUUGCUGCUUUAGCAAUGCCUUCCUUGCCAUCAGAACCAGAAAGACACUCUAUAGCCAUCCCUCCAUGUGCACUAAGAUCCUACAGGCUCACAUGAAUGACAUAAUUGUUAUAAAGAGUGAUAAAUAUAUUAAUCAAAGAACAUACAAAGAUUACCGUAAUCCAUAUCUUAGAUAGCAAAUGGGCCAACAGAAUUCUGCAUUAAGCAACUUACUAAAUUAGUUCUUGAGCUCUCAUCUGUUAAAAAAGGGGCUUCGAUACCAGGUUUAAGCCAUUCCUUUAGUACUCCUGUAGAGCAUUCUCAAAUGGUCAGACAUAUCUCUGUGCACCGUUGAUUGUGCUAUAGUCAGUGCGGGGAAAUUGAGAAGUAACAGGAAACAUGGUACUCAUCUUGGCUUAUUUAUGUUAUAUAUACCAAAAGGAUCUGAUAUGUUGGAAGACAUGUUCCCUUUCCUUUUAGUUAGAUGUUAAAAGGGUUCCAGAUUUAGUUAUUUUCUCCCUUCAGUAUCUGAUGCACAACUCAAACUGUCCAAAGUAGUUUCAUGCACCCCAACAACAACAAAGCCUUUCAAUCCCAAACAAGUUGAGGUAGGAUAGAGUUUUUCUUUUCUUCUAGAAAACGCAAAAGGCUUUUGCGUUUCAUUGUAUUAAAAAGAGAGGGUUUGGUACAAUCCUCCUAGGAGACAAAUUACAGUGCAAUUACAGGGUUAUUAGUGCACAUCCCAGGUCUGCGGCAAGAGAACGUGGAGGCCCAAAGCUCCGGCUUUGGCCCAAAGAACAGCCCCAUCCUUAAUCUUGGCGAUCACAGUAGUGAUGGAAGAGCGCGCACCCUCGAAGACGCAGUCGUUUCGAUGCUUCCAAAUCAUCCAUGGGACGAGCAGGGCAAUGGACGCAUGGGCUUGGGGGUGCUCUGCCUUGCAUAGCGCCACCAAUCAUGCAGAGCGAUGUCGUUGUCUGGCAGCAAACAUGGGAGGUGCAACCAAGAUAGGAUUGCGUACCACACCUGUCGGGCGAAGGGGCACGCGGGGAGCAGGUGUUGUAUAGUCUCCGGCGCCUGGUCACAGAGCGGGCAUCGUUGUGGGUGCGGUAGGUUGCGGUGCUCAAGGCGGUCGACAGUCCAGCAGCGGUCAAGGUUGGCAAGCCAAUGGAAGAAGCGCACCUGUGGUGGCACCCAACACUUCCAGGUUAGCCUCCAUGCUUGACAAUGGGUGGAGCCAGGGAAGGUGGCCAGGUAAGCUGAUUUGGCCGUGUACACACGUUCGUGGUCCACUUCCAGCGCACGCUGUCCGGCUCGUCGCUGAGGGUGGUUUGGGUAAUCAUGUGCCAAAGGCAUAGGUAUUCCCCUAACUCAGGGAGGCCAAUGGUGCCAUGGAUGUCGGACGCCCACCGGUGCCCAUGUAGGCCAUCAGCAACCGUUCUAGAUUUGCGAUGCCAUUUGGGAAUGCAAGCGUAUAGGAGAGGCGCAAUCUCAGAAACGGCGCGGCCGUUGAUCCAUCGGCCCUCCCAGAACAAGGUGUGAUGCCCGUUGCCGAUCAACAUGGUAGUGGACGCGAAGAAGAAUGCGCGCUCCUCACGCGAGAACUGUAGGUCCAGGCCGCUCCAGGCCAUCUCGUCAUCGACGCGGCUGAGCCACAGCCAGCGCGUGCGUAGGGCGAGUCCAGUGCGCUCGAGGUCAUGUACGCCAAGGCCACCAAGAGGGAUCGGGCAACAGACCCGCCGCCGGUUGACGUGGCAGUUGCCACCAUUGGCCUCAGCACGUCCAACCCGUAAGAAGCCUCGCUCAAUCUUCUCCAGGAACUUUAGGGUCUUUUUGGGCGGUGCGAAUACAAGGAGCUGGUGGAUGAGGAUUGCGGUCAGGACGGCCUUGACAAAAGCCAAGCGGCCGGCCUUGUUCAUGAGCCAUGCCUUCCAGGAGGGUAACUUCCCGACGACCUUGUCGACGACGGGCUGAAGCUGGGUGGCAGUAGGACGAUGAAGCGUGAGCGGGAUACCCAGGUAAGUGAUAGGAAAGUCAACAAUGGGGCUCCCGAGUAAUUGGACGACAUGGGCCGCCUCCUCGGAGGCACAACGGAUCAGGGUUGCAGCACUCUUCUAGAAGUUCACGUGCAGGCCGGAGGCUCGCCUGAAGAGGCGCAGGAUUUCCUUCACCGUCGUGAUAUCUCCAGGCGAGGGGUGGCAGAGUAGGAUCACAUCAUCGGCGUAUAGGGAAAUCACCGGAAUGGCGCGGCGAGGGUGGAGCUGUUGCAGCACUCGUAGCUCGAUUGUGCGGUGAAAAAGCCGGCCUAGCAUGUCAACAGCCAAGACAAAAAGCUGCGGGGAUACGGGAUCUCCAUGGCGCAGUCCACAUCGGUGCCAGAUCGUGGACAGAGUUGAAAUCCAUAUAAGAUCUCGAAACCUAGUUAUGGUUUUGGCACCUGGACGGCUAACUUCCACGCACCCCUAUCCAUGGCUAGUUCUUUGGUGAUAUUCCAGUCCUUCAAGUCUCUCUUAACAAACUCCUCUAAUGUCAAGUUUGGUCUACACCGACCUCUAUUGACAUUAUCAACAUGCUUUAUCCUUCCGCUAUGCGGCGGUGCUUCUGGAGACCUACAUUGUAUAUGCACAAACUAUCUUAGAGGAUGUUGGACAAGCUUCUCUUCAGUUGAUGCUACCCCAACUCUAUCACGUAUAUCAACAUUCACCACCCGAUCCUUUCUUGGACAUGUCACCUUUUAGUUGGCCAACAUUUUGUGACGUGCAAUAUCGCAUGUCGAAUCGCCCUCCUAUAGAACCUGCCUUUUAGCUUUUGUGGCCCUCUCUUGUCACAUAGGACGUCCGAAGCUUGGCGUCACUCCAUCCAUCCAGGUUUGAUUCGAUGGCUCACAUCUUCGUCGAUAUCACCACCCUUCUGUAGCAUUGACUCCAAAUAUCAAAGGUGUCCUUUUGAGAUACCACCUCCCAUCAAGGCUAACCUUCUCCUCCUUGUGCGUAGUAAGUAUUUGUUUUAGUUCUACUAAUCCUAUUACCCUUCAAUUCCAAAAUCUGCCUCCACAACUUUCUAUUAACCCUCCACCAGUUUAUUCUAGCGAAUUUGGCACGCUUAUCACGUUGGACACGUAUCUGAAAGUGAAAGUCCGCUACCAGAAGUUUAUGCUGAGGGACGACAGUCUCUCCAUGUAUCACCUUACAAUAUACGCAAGCACGCCUGUCUUCUCUUCUCAAGAGGACGAAAUCAAUCUGACCGUAGUGUUCACCACUACUAAAAGUCACUAGAUGGGAUUCUCUCUUUUUAAAGAGAGUGUUAGCUACGAUCAUGUCGUAGGCUAAAGCAAAGUUUAAGACAUCCUCUUCUUGAUUCCUACUGCCAUAAGCAAAGCCCCCAUGCACCCCUUCAAAACAUGUGUUAGAUGUACCCAUGUGGCAACUGAGGUCUCGUCAUAUGGAAAACUUCUUGCCAAUAGGCACACUCCUAGCCAUGUUCUCCAGGCCUUCUCAGAACUCCCUCUUGGUGAUCUCAUUGUGGCCUACGUGUGGGGCAUAUGCGCUGAUAACAUUGGUAACUAAGUCCUCAACGCCCAGCUUGACCAGGAUAACUCAGUCCCCUUGCCUCUUGACGUCUACCACUCCAUACUUGAGGUUCUUGUUGAUCAAAGAUGCCUACUCCAUUUUUGUUUGCAGUUGUCCCCGUGUACCACAACUUGAAGGCGAUAUCCUCCACCUCCUUCGCCUUAUGUCCCUUUCGUUCAGUUUCUUGGACGCAAAGGAUAUCAACGCCUCUCCAUACCAUUGUAUCAACAAACUCCCGUAACUUACCCCGUAAGGGACCCUAUGUUCCAGCUACCUAAGAGGAUCCUACUUGGCUUGGCUAGCUUCCUUACCCUUUGCAUUUGUCGAGUCAAAAGACCCUUGCUCAUUUUUCACUACACCCGGGCGUCGAUGUAGCGCGCCACAAGGGAUACAAUAACUCGAUCCUUGCUCAGUUAUCACCGUAUCCAAAUCAAGAUACGGCGCGCCACCAAGGGAGUGAGGGCCCGACCCUUGCCGAUUGAACACCACACCCUGGUUCCAAUGUGGCACGUCGCUAAGAGGGUUACGCCCCAACAAUGUUCUUUUAGGUUGCAUCUCCAUAAGAGUGGUUGAGUUUCCAAGUUGGCUCGCCAAGCCUAUCACAAUCCUCCUCCUUUACCUGGGCAACGUAAGCGGAGUUCCGAAGUAGUUUUUCAUGCAAAAUACAUAAAAUUUGAAGGUUGCUUUUUCCACGGUAUAGAUUUAUGGAAGAUAACUUGAAGGGCCAAGAGUUAAAAUAAAGCAGCACACACAGUUAUUAAUACCAGAUAUUAUUACUAAACUCGUUUUUUCUUUUACUUUUCUCACCGUCAAAGGCAAGCACUCUGCCACAUUAUAUUAAGAAAGAAAGAGUUCUAUGUUCAGGUAAAGAUAGGCCAAAAAGACUUGAAAAGAAUAAGAUUGCAUGUACUCAAACAAGUAAGCAUGUAAAGCAAAUGUUCAUAAGCACACCUUCAUUGUCAUAGAGAACUACAUACUUAACGCCAAUAUUUGAUAACCACCGUAAAAGCUGCUUGAUCUUCAAAACAUUAUUUGCUUCUCUGCUAUCUACUACAACGCCCACGUAAUUAAGUCUCUCAAAAUGAAGAUCUCGGUACUUGGGCAGCAGCUCAGACGAAAUAAAAUAACAUUCUAGAUUAUCAUUCAGAUGCGACCACAAAUCGAAGAGGCUGACCAACAGGUGGACAAGGUGCCACAGCAGCCCCA
RNAcentral lists this long non-coding RNA (88909 nucleotides) under Hordeum vulgare. RNAcentral describes it as "long non-coding RNA (HVUL_LNC015264)". The stretch from base 82949 to 83060 matches the Rfam family "tRNA". The record is from RNAcentral. Lineage: Eukaryota; Viridiplantae; Streptophyta; Magnoliopsida; Poales; Poaceae.